CCUGCGAGAGAAUGCAAGGAAGGUCUAGGAUAUGUCCAAAUGAGCCGGAAAUUGGCACAAGAUUGUAGGCAAGGGUUUUGGGGUGGUUCUGGUGGAGCCAAACCGCUGCCGCGAAGAAAGCUUCGUCUUGGUUACAUUUUCCACCAUAGUCGCGUAUGUCUAUGAAGUUGCAAAUGAGUUUAUGGGUGGUUAGAGGAUUGUGCGACCAGCUGAGGGAAACACUUGGUUCAUCAGAGUUUUGUGGAAUUCCACGGUCGACAUGGCGUCCUUGGCGCAGUGGAAGUACAGAUCAACGCAUGGGUUGUUGAUGUUGUGGAAGCCUAAUUGGGGUUGUUUGAAUUUGAACCGAUCGGACCGCAGCAGAGCAAUUCUUGUGAAUUGCGGUCAAACGACCUUAUUUCAGCAUGCUUUCAGAAUCGAUAUCACUAGCAGGAAUGCUCGCGCUUUGCUGCGAGUUUUCAAACCAUGGAUAAUAUUCAUAGAAAAAAUAACUGAAAAUGCUACAGAAUUACAAUAACAUUCUUAAACGUAGCAAUUCAGACAACACAUGUUUCACAUGAGUAACACUCACAAAACCACACAUUUACACAAUUAUCUCCAAAUGAAAGAAAGCAAGAGAUAGGUGAAUUGAUCCAUAAAAUAAGUAGUUCAAUUUACAUUGCUACUAUCUUGUAACUUAUUAGAGCUUCUUUGCAGAUCAAUCAUAAUGAUUUCUUCAUUGCUUUCACCAAAUAUUUCUAUAGUUCUACUCUAGUAGUCCAAUCGACAGAACAAAUAGCAAGUGCGAUUUUAUUCACUGCUUUGAAUGUGUUGUAAAGAUAAUACCACCAACUAUGGGUGGCAAUUGAUUCUUGUGAUAACAUACUAUAAAAGUAAAGGUAUGGAUAAAAAAGAAAAUGCGUCCUUUGAAAGAUCUAGAACAAACCUGAAGAAGAACCUGAAGAAGCACCUGAAGAAGAACAUCAAACAUCCCUGUGGUGAUCAUAACAUGCAAUACCCAAAGAAAAAUAAUUUAAGAAAAAAUAAACCUAUUCAUCACAUAAUGCUAAAAUACAUAUGCCAACAUAUCCAUAAUUUCUAUGUUUACGGAACAUCUUUCGAUAAAUCACAACCUUCAUUUUAAAAUGGACUUUUGUAUUUGUAUUUUGCUUGUGAGUAUGGUCUUGGUUAAAACUUGGCAUUCUAGCAUUUACUUAUAUGAUAUCAUAUAGCAAGAAAGCUAUGAGACCCGAGUCAGUUUAUUGUAUUCUCAGACCCUCAAAAUACUAGAGCUAGACAGAGAUAAACAACAACACGAAAGAGAAACUUCUACUUUACAUGUACACUAACAUUUGCAUGUGCAAAGCUCUCUUUCCUCCUUUCCUUUCUUUUCUUCCUCACCUUUCGGUUCUUUCUCCUAGAUUAAGGAGAUUGUUGUUUUGUUGUUAGUGGUUGCCAUCAUCAUCAUCACAUUCAAAUCAACUUUUGUAAUUAAGGCGUUCUACGCGCGACUUAUAUAAUUUAAAUGAUAACAAAAGAACGGUUGAUCUCUGAUCUAAUUGCAGACACAAUCUGCAGAACCGUCUUCUAUGGGAUUUGAACUUAUGAAGUGUGAGGUGGAGACCUGAAUGUAACAAAUUGGUUUUAAGUGAAUAAUUCCAAACAUAUAAAAUUUAGAUCAUCACACCGAACGCAAACCGAACAAUUAAAUAAAGAACUGAAGGCAUAAGCAAUCUAACUAGACAAAUAAGUGAACUUUCCCAUGCCAAAAUCUGAAAGGCCAACAGAAAUAUUUCAUUACAGCACAGAAGACAAAACUUAAAACUAAUCAAACUUAGGUGAACCAAUUAUAGAGAACAUAACCCUUGUAACCAAUCGGGAAAAGAUGCUUAAACAAAAUUAAGAGGAGUUUUUAAAAAAACCAUCAUUUCAAUUAUUUUCCAGUCUUACAUUUGGAUUAAACAGAAAAUAUAAGUAAAAAUGCCAACUUUCUUAAAAAACUACGACUAUUUUUACAAAUUUCCAAUACCCAAUACUGAAAAAUGAGAAUCACGAAGCAAUGAAGAACGGAACACGCGAGAACCAAAAAGUUAAAAACAACACGUAACCAUUUCAAAGGCCCAAAAUCCUGCAAGGACAAAAAAAUCCGAUAAAAUAAGUACAUCAGCACUCCCUGCAAAACCCCAAAAUCAGAAAAUUAUAAAAAGAACCCAAAAUCAGUGGCAUGGUCCUCGUUUCUCCAUCAUUCAGUAGCUAAUGACCUAAUGGAAAAGAACCCAAAACAUACAGCUUAAAAUAUGGAAAGUGCUUAUAAAAGCUCAUGAAUAACUUUCAAAGCCUGCAUAGAAAUGGUAUAGCGCAGAUAACAACAGACAAUAAAACUAUGCACAGUAUAACCUAAAUCUGAUAUGUUGCAUUCCACACACACAGAUUGUUCAAAAUUAAUUUCGUCUCCGUCUUUUUUCAAAUCUGAUAAAAUCCCCAAAACACAAAAAAUAGCAGCUAACUAUUUUUUAAACUCUGUAAACAACGAUAUGCAUCUUAACCCAUUUAACAUAUUCAUAAAAUAACAUCAAACACAUUUAUGCAUGAGAUAAUAUAGAAGUGAAGUCUCACAACUUUCAUAAAAAGUUAUUACUUUGUUAGAGAAAGGCUUGAAAAAAUAUGUAAAUUACUCACGUCUAUUACAAAAAUGUUACAACAGCAGACAAAAAAGGCCAAAAAUACCAAAAGCCGCACCUCCUGAAAUAAAAACAUAACCAAACGACACAUUCACAGUAUCAAUCUAAACGAUAUCCAGAAAAAAAAUGAAAUGAACAGACAAAACCCAUGUAAAUAUACAGAACAAACCAAAAGAAAAAAAAAAGAACUGAAGCCAGUAAGAAGAUCACAAAUCUGAUAAAGCAAAAGGUAACAUAAUCUAUAUCGAUUUAAUUAUCCAUCCAAAAUGACAGAAUCUAUAUCGAUUUAAUUAUCCAUCCAAAAAGACAUUUGAACGAAGAAUAUUUUUAAGGAUCCAAACAACCAUUAAACUAAACAAUUAAAAGUAAAAACAGCAAAGCAUUCAUUGAAGAAAUAUAUAUAUAUUAUAACGUAUUUGGUUUUUUAUACCUAAAAGAAAAACAUUGGCUUUCUUGUAUGCAUUGAAGUAUGCAUGUGUCGGAAAUUUACAAUCUAUAGAGACUCAAUCUUAGACUCAAAAAGACAUUUAAAGGAAAAGUAAUAAGAAAAAUAAGUAGUGGUUUUACCUAUACUCCAUGUGUGGACUCCAAUUUUCAAUCACAAUUCAAAAUUCAAGAGGCCUAUAAAUCAACCAAAUAGGAAAUGAUCAGUGGAAGAAAAAGAAAAACAACUGAAGCCAAAAUAGCAUCUAACAAAUCAUUUAGAACCAUCACAGAAAACAAUUUUUGCAUAUAAGUAAUUUAAAGGAAUACCAUCAGGUCAUGCAUAUAUACAACGUACCCAAUUAGAUAAGAAGCACAUCAACAAUUGAUGAUCAAAAAGUUAGUCAGCCUCAAUUGCUUGAAUCCAAUUAACUCAAAGAUAAUAAACAGUCCAUUUAACGCACGGGCUGACUGUCAAUUUUAUAAAGCUAUAAUUCUGUGCAGUUCAAAAACCAAGUGGAAGAAUAGGCAAAAACUAUCUCAUCGCCUGUAAAUGUAAUUAACUAAAUAUUAAACUUCACAGCCACAAAUAAACCUAAAUUCCUCCUAAAACUAUCUCAUUUAAGCUUGAUUUUACUAUAAUCUAUAAGUGUGGUAAAAAAUGGGAGGCCAAACGAUUUGUUAACAAAAAAGGUAGACAUAGAAGUAAAAGGAACAGGGCAGACAUUAGUUGAGGAGAAGCUAAUGUCACCUUGAAUUGACGACAAACAGUUCUUAUCUUCUCGAAUUAACGAAGAUAAGUACCAUUUUUCUUUAAUUCAAGGUAAUAUAAAAAGAAAUUAUACCUGUACAGUGUUCAGAUGUAGCAAUCCUAUGCAAUCGGCUAAAUGAUGUGUGUCCUCUCAAAGAUCUGUAUAUCCAUUACAGACUAAUCUUCAGUCUUGCAGAAAAUGAUAUGUUGACUACAAUUUCCCAUACUACUAAAAAACACAAAUAAUUCUAUCUACAAACCAAAUAAUACGUGCAACUUUAUGCUACAAUGGUAGAAUAAGAUGGUUGUACAGGACGACACAAAGAUUGAGACUUUUUUUUACUUCUAAAAUUCUACACACUUUCGAGCCCUAAAUUUUCGCGGAAACAAAAGAAAGUGAAAGAAGUCGUACCUGGUUUGAGAGAGUGGGACGCCAUCGGCGAGUUUGGUGUAGCAGUGAUGGCGGAGAUCUCUGGUGAGAAAGCUAAUAAGAUGGACAAAAUCAUUGAACAAAAAAAACCUCGAUUUUUAAAAUUAAAGUCAACAAAAAUUUGAACAAAGAAAAGAGAACUCAAACCCGAAACAAAUAAGUCGGAGAACUCGCCAGGAAACCCAAAGUUUCUGCAGGAUUGGCGAUUUCCUGAAAACCAAGCUUUUGUAGGUUUAAAAUUUCUUCCCUAAGGCAACAGAUCCAACAUUCCCAACUUUAAGCUAUUUCAGCUACAUAAUAGAAAGAAAAAAAAUUUAAUUUAUAUAAUUAACUAAUCUGAUUUAAGAUUAAUCGAAAAGCUUGGAAAUUUCAGCUUUAAAAUUACAUGUCAGGCUGCAAAUCUAAUAAAAAGCGUAGAAUUUUAAAAAUGCUGACCUUAAAUACAGAGGCCUUCGCAGGCUGCAAAGAAACGUCAGAAACCCGAAAAACCGGAUCUCCUGAAACCAAAAACAAAACCAAAUUAACCAUCAUCACCCAUAAUUCGAAGCCACAAACAAAAUCCCCAAAAUUACAACCCAAAAAUUUAAACAAAAAAACCUAUUUAUAAAUCCAAAUUUACACUCCCAAGUGCAAGACUCUAAGCUCCAACUGUUCUUUCUCAACUUUAGCUAUUUCAGCAACAUAACAUAAAUAACAACAACAACAAAACCUUUUCCCACUAAGUGGGGUCGGCUAUACGAAUCCUAGAACACCAUUGAGCUCGGUUUUGUGUCAUGUCCUCCGUUAGAUCCAAGUACUCAAGUCUUUUCUUAGGGUCUCUUCCAAAGUUUUCCUAGGUCUUCCUCUACCCCUUCGGCCCUGAACCUCUGUCCCGUAGUCACAUUUUCGAACCGGAGCGUCAGUAGGCCUUCUUUGCACAUGUCCAAACCACCGGAACCGAUUUUCUCUCAUAUUUCCUUCAAUUUCGGCUACUCCUACUUUACCUCGGAUGUCCUCAUUCCCAAUCUUAUCCUUUCUCGUGUGCCCACACAUCCCACGAAGCAUCUUCAUCUCCGCUACACUCAUUUUGUGUACGUAUUGAUGCUUCACCGCCCAACAUUCUGUGCCAUACAACAUCGCUGGCCUUAUUGCCGUCCUAUAAAAUUUUCCCUUGAGCUUCAGUGGCCUACGACGGUCACACAACACGCCGGAUGCACUCCUACCCUUCAUCCAUCCAGCUUGUAUUCUAUGGUUGAGAUCUCCCUCUAAUUCUCCGUUCUUUUGCAAGAUAGAACCUAGGUAGCGAAAACGGUCGCUUUUUGUGAUCUUCGCUAGAUUGCUCCGGUCAUUAGUGUGGAUAAGUAUAUAAAUGGAUAGAGAUAGGAAAGCAAACACAAGAUGUACGUGGUUCACCCAGAUUGGCUACGUCCACGGAAUAGAGGAGUUCUCAUUAAUUGUGAAGGGUUUACACAAGUACAUAGGUUCAAGCUCUCCUUUAGUGAGUACAAGUGAAUGAUUUAGUACAAAUGACAUUAGGAAAUAUUGUGGGAGAAUGAUCUCGUAAUCACGAAACUUCUAAGUACCGGAGUGUGGUAUCGUCUUGACUUGCCUUAUCUGUCUCAUAGGUAGAUGUGGCAUCUUUUCUGGAAGUACUCUUCCUCCAUCCAGGGAUGGUAUCUUUAACUGGUGGAGAUGCACAAGGUAAUGUAUCAAUUUCACUUGAAGCUUACUUGUAGUUUCAGGCUUGGUCAAGCGCGAUACAAACCAUGUAGUAGGAGUCUCCCAAGUCGCCGAGCUAGGGGAUCAGCUAAAAGAGGUGACAGACAAGGUAAGCAAUCAGAGCUCCGGCUGAUUGUUCACAUUCUCCCUAUCUUGCAGGCAGCAUGAAGGAUAAAGAAAAGAAAAAUGAGAAGAGAUGAUAUGGGAUACUUUUACUUUUGAAGAAGUAACUUUCCACAAGCUUAUUCUAGAACUGGGCUGGAGGGUUUUCUGGUUUCCUCCAGAGUAUAAGGCCGACUGAAGAAUUUGAGGGUCAAAACAAGUCCAUCAAAUCUAGAGUACGUUCGACCCUGCUGAUAUGGGAUGUUUUUGCUUUUGACAGAGUAGUGGAUGUAUCGGCACGUGUGUUGUUACGCUUGUCUCCACAUGUUUCCUUGUAUCCUUCUCACUUGCCCUAUCUGUUCCUCAGGCAGAUGCGGUAUCUUCCCUAGAAGCAUAAGAUGUUGAAGAUGAGUACUCGAGAACAAUGCCAGAUAAGUAAUCAGGUAAGGGGUUCCAGGCAGUCAGUUCCUGGCUGGAAGCUUGAUUCCAAGUGUUGACUGAUUGCUCUCUUUCUCCUUGUCUUGCAGGUAAGAACAAGGCCAAAGGAAAAGACAGGGAAAAAGCAUGAUAUGGGAUACUCUUGCUUUUAACCCUGAUGAUAUGAGAUGUUCUUGCUCUAGUAUAGCUUGUUUGCAGAGGUAUUAUCGGGGGGAAAGAAAGCUGAAUAUUUCGAAAGGCUUCGUUGGGAGUGCCCUCUCAGAUAAGAGGAAGGGUUGAGCAUUUUUGCAGGUCUGCCUGUCCGUUGGGGAUGGGGGUCGACAUAUAUAGGAGUCUCCCUAACAUCAAGUAAUAAUGCUAUUCCUUUACCCUCCUUGGUCAUAGCACGGUAGUGGGAGCUGCCAGCUUCACAUGUUUUAACUCUGUCAGAGCACUUUGAAAAAGUGGUCUGUGGUAUCUGGAAAGCUGAUGUUGCGUGUGAAGAUUACAGACAAGCUUUAUCCACGGAGAUCCAGCUCUUGAAGUUGGGAAAGUGGUGCCUCUUCGGUUUUCGAACAAGCAAUCCUGUCGGGGAUCUGGCUCUCGAGAUUCGGAGAACGAUGCCUCUUCGAUUUUUGAGAAAGCAAUCCUGCUGGGGGUCUGGCUCUCGAGAUUCGGAAAGCGGUGUCUCUUCGAUUUUUGAGAAAGUAAUCAUGUUGGGAGUCUGGCUCUUGAGAUUCGGAGGGCGGUGCCUCUUCGAUUUUGGAGCAAGCAAUCUUGUUGGGAGUGUUUUCUCGAAUGUGAGUAAAGGUUGGGCAUGUUUGCUAGUCUACCUUGCCACGAAGCACAGAGGUUGACGCAGGACUUUCCAAUUAUCCAGCAGUGGUACUGUUCCUUUACCCUCUCUUCGAUUUUUGAGAAAGUAAUCAUGUUGGGGGUCUGGCUCUCGAGAUUCGGAGGGCGGUGCCUUUUCGACUUUGGAGCAAGCAAUCUUGUUGGGAGUGUUUUCUCGAAUGUGAGUAAAGGUUGGGCAUGUUUGCUAGUCUACCUUGCCACGAAGCACAGAGGUUGACACACCGGGACUUUCCAAUUAUCCAGCAGUGGUACUGUUCCUUUACCCUUGUGGGUAAUAAUAUGGUAGCUAGACCUUCAAAAUUUAUGUGUCUAAACUUUGUUAGUGUUGUUUCUUUGCUAUUCUUUUACCCUUCUUGGUCAGAGCGAUGUAGUGGGAGCUGCAAGCUUCACGUGUCUCAACUUUGUCAAAGAACUUUGGCAAAGUUAUCUGUGGUACCCAUGAGCUACUGUUGCGUGUGGGAAGUGGGUGAUUGAACAGAACGAUUCAUGUGCUUUCUACUUCACCAGAAAUCUUCGACAGAAUGCCCAUAAUUUCCGCAAAGCUGAGUGCAUAUGACAGGUGCUGACAAGGCUGGAAAAGUAGGUGCCUCUUCGAUUUCUGAGAUCGACCCUCGUGGUCUCUAAGCAGCCCAGCUUUUGAGAAAGCAAGCCUCUUCGAUUUCUGAGAUCGGCCUUCGUGGUCUUUGAGCAGCCCAGCUUUUGAGAAAGCAAACGCCUCUUCGAUUUCUGAGAUCGACCCUCGUGGUCUCUGAGCAGCCCAGCUUUUGAGAAAGCAAACGCCUCUUCGAUUUCUGAGCAGGCGCCUCUUCGAUUUCUGAAGCUUCGUCGAGUGCAGAUUUUUAUAGGGGAUGGCAUUAAGUUCCAAAGCACACUUGAAUCUCCACCAGUAGAAGCUCCAUUCUUGCACUUCUAAGAUCUUGAUUUUUUCCGACCUUUUCUCUCUUCAACACCUUUGAAAAUGUCUGGCCCCUCCGACCGUCGUUUUGACUUGAACCUUGUUGAAGAGGCAGCCCCGCCUUCUCCAGACAACAUAUGGCGCCCAUCCUUCAUCUCCCCUACUGGUCCUCUUACCGUUGGGGAUUCCGUGAUGAAGAAUGAUAUGAUCGCUGCGGUAGUGGCCAGGAACCUUCUCACUCCCAAAGAUAACAGACUACUUUCCAAACGGUCUGAUGAGUUGGCUGUUAAGGAUUCUCUGGCUCUCAGUGUUCAGUGUGCAGGUUAUGUGUCUAAUAUGGCCCAACGCCUAUUUGCUCGAACCCGCCAAGUUGAAUCAUUGGCGGCUGAAGUGAUGAGUCUCAAACAGGAGAUUAGAUGGCUCAAGCAUGAAAUAAACAGUUGCACCGGCUCGCACAUGACUAUGCUACAAACAUGAAGAGGAAGCUUGACCAGAUGAAGGAAUCUGAUGGUCAGGUUUUACUUGAUCAUCAGAGAUUUGUGGGUUUGUUCCAAAGGUAUUUAUUGUCUUCGUCUUCUGGGGCUGUACCGCGUAAUGAAGCUCCAAAUGAUCAACCUCUGAUGCCUCCUCCUUCUAGGGUUCUGUCCAGUACUGAGGCUCCGAAUGAUCCCCCUCCGGUGCCUUCUCUUUCUGGGGCUCUACCAACUGCUGAGACUUCUCCUAAGCAACCUUUGUGAAGGCUCCCUCUUGUUUGUUUAUUUUGACUCAUGCAUAUGUACCUAUUUGUACCUUAUCGGGGAUAUCAAUAAAUAAGCUUUCCUUCAUUUCAACGUAUUGUGUUAAAUACACCAAAACCUUCUUCGCUAAGUUCUUUGAAUUUUCUUUUGUUGAAGCUUGUAUGUUGAAGCUUUGUGAGUGGAGCCUGUAGGUUGAGGUAGUGUUCCCUUAAUUUCCUGAGUGAGGAAAACUUCUCGGUUGGAGACUUGGAAAAUCCAAGUCACUGAGUGGGAUCAGCUUCUAUGGCCCCCUUGCUCAUUUAACACUGCAUCCGGGUGCCGAUGGAGAUACAGCGACCCUUGCUCACUUAUCACUGUGCUCGGGCCACACAGCGCGCCACUUACGGGUGACGCCCUAGCUUUAGCGCGAUCUUGUUCUGGAUUCAUUUUCAUAAGGAUUCGACGUAGUCAUGGAGUGCCGGUUGUCGACUACCUGACGCCCUCCCCCUCCUCCUUUAUCCGGGCUUGGGACCGGCAAUGUAAGAUCAAUUUAACUAUAAUUAACUAAUAUGAUUUAAGAUUAAUAAAAAAAACUUGGAAAUCUGCUUGAAUUCAAUCUCAAAAUUGAAAACGAACACUUCACUUUUACAAAAGUUGUACAAAGCAAAAUAAAAAAGACAAAUCAAAGUCUCACAAAGGGCCACAACGACAGCAAAAUUGCAACAGAAAGAGGAAAAAUGUUCAAUCAAACCAUUGGAUAACUCUUCUCAGGCAGUCAAAAAAAACCCACAAAUUCAAAACCACAAAAAUCCAAUCUAAAACAUCGAUUCACAGACUGAGAUGCACAAAAUGAUAUAUUAACAAAUCCAAAACGAAAUACAAAAAUUAAGAACCAACAAGCAAAAAAAUACCGAUUAUCCCCUGCAUAAGUGAGCACACGUUCAAAAAGCCUCUCAAAGGCUGAGAUUCAACUUUAAAAUAUAAAGACUUUAAGCCACAAUUGUUCUUUCUUAACUUUAACUACUUCAGUUACAUAAUCGGAAAAAAAAAUUAAUUUAAUUAUAGUUAACUAAUCUGGGUUAAGAUUAAUAAAAAAGCUUGGAAAUUUCAGAUCUAAAAUCACACGUCAGGCUGCAAGUAGAAUCAAAACCAUGGAAUUUCAAAAUCACUGACCUUAAACACACAGGUCUUCGCAGGCUUCAAUGAAAAGUCACAAACUCGAAAAACCCAAUCUCCUGAAAUCGAAAACAAAACCAAAUUAACCAUCAUCACCUAGAAUCCGAAGCUACAAAACAAAAUUCUCAAAAUCAAAACCAAAAAAUUUGAACAAAAAAUCCAUUUAAAAUACAAAUUUACACUCCCAAGCACAUAACAUUCAAAGCAGACAAUUACCCAAAUCAAAUCGACAGCAGGAGAUGCAAUCUUUUAUGGGCUUCAAAUUUUCUUCAAACCGAGACCAAAUUCGUUAUUUUUCAGCAAGAGAGCGUUGCCGUUUGUAACCCCCGAUGAAAAGAUCCAAACAAAUUUGACUAACAGUAGAGAGAGAAAGAGAGAUAGAGAGAGAGGUGAAAAUUACUCGCUGGUGACGAAGCUAAUGAAUUCGGAGACGCAUUCCUGGACGGUGUUCGAUUGAUCGGCACGAGUAGAGACAUGAGAUCAGAAAGACAGAAAAAUUAGGGUUUGGGAGAUAAAGAAACUGGGGCAGAGAGAGAUGGAAAGAAAGAAGCAGAAAAGAGGAUGGCAACUGAAACCUUCCAGCGACUUUGUUCUUUAAAAAUAGCUUUAUGACAAAAUUACCCUUGGAUAAUUUUAUGCAUUCUUUUUAGCCGCUUUGAAUUUUUUUUGGCCGACAGGCAUUUGCGUCCAAUUAUUUUUGUCGAAGCCGGUGACACCAAAACCGGCCUCCGGCUUUCGAAGAAGGAUGGUCUGCUUUCCAUUUCCGUGCCUUCUUCGUGUCUCCUGUUUGAGUGGUCACGGUUAAACCACGUUAACAUUUUAUAUUACUAUUCAUUUUUGUCUUAUUAUAUUUAUAAAAAUAAUAAUAUAAAAUGUAGACGUGGCUUAACCGUGAUCACAAAAAACAAGAGGGCACGAGAAGGACAACGGAAGUGGAGGGCAGACAAUCCUUAUCCCGGCUUUCUAUAUAAAGAUAAUUAACUUUAAUAAUUGUAAUAGGAAGUAAUGAUUAUGCCCAACCUUUGGAUCAACAUUUGUAAGCUAUAUCAAAAAAAAAAAUACUAAAAAAGUUUAAACACAAAACCCCCCAAAAUUAUAAAAUCAAAAUAUAAUGUACUACCCAUUUUCUCCCGUUUUUCUCUCGCCCUCCAUUUCUGCAAAUCACCAACCUCCCUCUCUGCCCGUAUACUCCCUACCUCUCUCAUAAUAUCAAAACUCUCAAACCCAAUUCACUGCCUCAUUACCUAGUUGAUAAAAGUCCCUAUGACAGUAUCAAAGCAACUAUAAUUACAAAGAAGUUGAGAGAUUACUUUCUGAUUAUCAAAACCAUUACUGGCUUUAUGCUGACACAAAUGGUGCGUUUGUUGCACCGGACUAUCUCGGACUGGACUAGCUUCAGGGACUAAAAUGGACUGGCUUAGACUAGACUAAGCUGGACUGACUUAGUGAAGCGUUUUUAUGCAGUGCCGGAUUAAGAAGCAGAACUCUAAUAUUAUAUUAUUAAAUCUAUAUAUACAAUAUUUUAUCAUUGAUUUAAUCUAAUCUACUAAUUUUUUUAUUAUUAUUUUAUCAUUUGGCUAGAAUCAUCUUCUUCAUUUUUAUCUCCGCCCAUAACUCCCAACCCUCUCCCUUUUUUCUGCCUUUUCUCCCUCUUUUUCUCAGUACUACCGUCUUCCCCCAAAAAACCCCAACCCCUCCCUCUCAAGCUUAGCAUCACCAAUUUAAUGGCAGCAAUGGUGAGCUUUCCUGUUCAGCUUCCUUUCUCUCUCUUCCCUUUGUUUUUUCGUUCAAAUCCCUCUCUCUCUUCCCUUUGCCUCUUUUAUCGUCAACUUCACUUGUUCUUCCAUGGGUGAGGAUUGAAGUUGCAGACGGCACGGGUGGGUGGGGCUGGGUAUGGGCAUGGGUAGGGAUUGGAGUUGCAGACGGCAAAGGGUGCAACUUGGUCGGGUCGCUAAGAAUAUCGUUGUAGUUCUCUCGGAUUUGAAACGAGGGAAUGGUCUUGGUGUGGUGUUGUGAUCUCGUUGGAGAGAAGACGCAAUGUAGACGAAAAAAGGUCUUCGCAGAGGGAGGACGCCAAGCGGUGCAAAUGAGACGAAGCAAGUCUCAGCAGUCCCGUGGUUUUCGGGGAGCUUCGCUAAGACGACCUAGCGAGGGAGAUAGUCCACACGAGUCUGGACUAGUCUCAUUUAAGUUAGUCCCCAAGCUUACCAAACAUGGGACAAUAAUCCUAGCCAGUCCAGUCCCACUUAAGAAGUGAAACAAACGCACCCAAAAUCUCACAAUAUUAUUACCACGACCUUAUGCAUAAUAGGAACAACACUAUAAUCAUCUGCCUACCAGAAAUUAACUCUUCUACAACAGCAAGUUUAACAACCAACCAACCUUUGAACAAAGAACACACGGACAGGAAGAAGCAGGAUACAUAAGAGGCAAAACAAUUUUCUUACUUCUACAUCAAAGCAAAAGAACAACCAUUACAUAGGUAUGCCAUUAUCAUCUGGGGAACAAAUCCAAUUGGCAGCUUUUACGUACCUACAAUUAUAAGCAAAGUUUGGAAUUCACAAAAAAUAUUGGGCAAAUACCAAGGCUGCCAUUUGAAAAAGCUAAACAAUAACAAACUUUGACAAAUUAACUACAACUAAAUUCAGAUGACAUUCAAUGUAUGAAGACAAUCUGAGAAAUCAAAGGCUCUAAAAUCAAUACCAUAUUUCAUGUGCCUUUUAUUGAUAGUGAACCCAUCAGUAUAACCAGGAUAAAAAUUUGAUUUAGAAUCUUGCUAUCUUUGUCCUUGUAAAUAUGAUAUUUUGGCAUCGGCAAUAUAUCAUAAAAAAAAAACAAAUAUAUCUGAAUUCAAAGAAAAUAUAGAACAAAAAUAAAAAAGCAAAUUAUGAACGCGUAGAAGCUAAUUUCAUUAGCAAUUAAAGCAACCAAGUUCUCUCAACAUCAAGAUUCAGAACCCCCAGGAACCCAGAAAUUUGAUGAAAAUUUUUCUAAUCACUCAAUUGGAUUAGACAAAAUCAUGAAUUUUUUUCUAAAGCCCAAUUAUAUUAAAUCACAAAUUAGAAGCAGAUUUUGACAUGCAAUAAGUCAACAAGAUAGGAAUUGCUUCAGACUAACCUCGAUGGCAAGGCCUCCGGAAUCGCCCGAUCUAAACCAACCAAAAAAAAAUCUAUUCACAUGAUCUUCAACCUAACUAUAAAGAGGAGCUUUAUAACAUAACAUGCCAAAACAACCAAGCCCAACAAAUUAACGAACUAAUUUUUCUUAAUCAAUAAUAGCAUACAUAUUAUCAAAUUAUCAAUCAAUAAUUCACAUAUCGUUAAGGGUUAAACAAAUAUAUGAAGACUGGAAAUUUACUCACACAUCUAAUAUAUCCUUGCAUUUCUAUUUGAAUUCAGAGUACGUGGAAAUCAAAUCAACAAAUCAAAGCCCUAAAUUUUUAUCAUCCUGAAUUGGAAAAAUCUGUAAAAUCUAAAAUUUUUGACUAAAAAUGCUAACUUAGGAAUAUGAGGAAAUUUGCAAAUUAGCUAAACAAGACUAUUAUUUAUCCAAUCAAAUGCAAAUUGGAAUGGUGCAGAACUAACACUACAAAAUUCGUUAAACUAAACAAUGGGUAGAAUGUUUAUAAGAUUUAUAUUUUACACAAAAACUAAUCUUCUGAAAAAGCAAAAAACAUAAAAAUUUUGUUAAGCAAUCGCAUGGAUUAUAAAUGCCAAAGAUUAGAUGAUGGUAGGCGUCAAAUUACCUUUUUCACCGAAGAUGCGAAACCCCUCAUUGCCGACGUGGCGGGGCGAAUCCUCUGUCCUAAAAUCUGAACCAACACAAAGAUUAGGCAGAAAAUCUGAAAGUUCAUAAAUUGCAGAAGUAGAGGGAUUACCAUAGCUGAUGAGCUUCCAGCUCCUACUUUUUGCCUUAAAAUUCCCAACAUCUUUGAUUCUUUCACACAAAAUCACACUGAACGCAAACAAAAAUUAGAAACAAAAUAUGAUCUAAGAACUGAAAAUUUAAGUGAAAGCACUGAGAGAGAUGAGGAGGAAUAACAAAUGAUUUAUUGGAAAUAUGGAAAAAAAAAUCAGAUUAAAAUUUGGACAGAAAUAAACAAUACGAAUUAGGGAUUUGGGAGGGGGGACAAACCGGUUUGGAGGAUUGGAGCGGGGAUCGGAUCGAUGAUGCGAUGUGUAAAAAAUGAGCGUUAAGGAAGCAGAGCAGCAGCAUCCAACACUUUCACGCAGAACUUGUUGAAUCCACAUCCGCCGUACUAAAAGAAAAGAUAAGUAAUAGUUUAAAUAUCCUAACCUCACUCUAACUAACACCGAUGCCUUUUGUGAUAAAAUUUUACACUUGACGGAUUAUGCAAGUGGUAAUUACCAAGUUGGCGAUAGUAUCGAUGUUGUUGGAAGUGGGCCAUAUGGCCCGUCUCUUUGAUAACUCUACAUUGUAUCAGAGCCAAGGAACGAACCCGUAAUGUACUAUCACGUGAUGGGUGGAUCCUCUGGCCCCGUGCGAUAUGGUGGGUCCCUUGGCCCCGCUUAUAGGGUGAGUCCCCUUGGCUCCACGUGGUUGCCAAUGUGUGGGUCUUCCACGUGUGGCCCACUAAUUGAGUCUCACGUGAUGGGGCGUGUUGAAUCUCACAUCGGCCGUAGUAAAAGAUAAGUAUUAGUUUAAAUAUACUAACCCCACUCUAACCAACACUGAGACAUUUUGUGAUAAAACCCUACACCUGACGGAUUGUGCAGGUGGUAAUUACCAAGUUGGGGGACAAUAUCAAUGUUGUUGGAAGUGGGCUGUAUUGCCCGUCUCUCUGAUAAUUCUACAGAACUUACUUGGAAAACCCAGAUCAAACCAACCUAGAUCAAACCAACCUUUAAGUUUCAAGGUUUUUACCCUGGAAUCCAGGCAAAACCCAGAUCAGAUUCUAAAUGGGUUUAUCAAAAAUAAUAAUUUGAUUUUGAUCAGAAAUGCUUAUUCUUGUAGUGGGUGUACAUCUAGUAAUGCUUAUUCUUGUAAAUUGUCGUUGCAAUAAUACAAUAAUACUCAAAAUGAUGUAGUGGGUGUACGGAUUAAAGAGGGUUUUAGGUGAAUGUGAUCAGCUUACCCAUGUGUCUAAUGGAUUAAACUAACAAAAUAGUAUGUGAUGUGAUAUGUUUUAGGUCAACAUAACAAGAAAAUAUUAAACAAUGAGUUGUACAGGAAGAUACAGAUGCUCUUAUGUUCUUUGUGAGUUUUUCCACAGUGAGAUAAUGGGUAUAUAUUACAGAGCCGACUUCUCUGCCCUCCCAUUUCCCAUACACUCUUAUCCCCUUCUAUUUUAUGCUGUCACGGUUAAACCACGUCAACAUUUUAUAUUGAUUUUUUUAUAGAUAUAAUAAAACAAAAAGCAAUAAUAAUAUAAAAUAUUGACGUGGCUUAACCGUGACCGCACAAAUAAGAAGGAAUGAGAGUUUAUGGGAAGUGGGAAGGCAGAGAAGCCAGGUCCACCGUCCAUAUAUUACACUCUGUAUUUGUACCCUUGCCAUGAAUGAUUAAGGUUUCACCCUAACAUUUAAAUAAUGAAUGUAGUGGUCAAGAAUUAUUAAAGAUACAGUAAUUACCCUUCUAAGGUGAAAUCAAGCUCAAAUCUGAUGGGUUUCUUGUAAAUAAGGUGAAAUCGAGGGGCAAAACUUUAACUGUAGCUGAAUGAAUAGUAGAUCAUUCCUCAAUUUUAGAAUAGAUAACUAGAAAGUGUAGCCCGCGCAUUGCUGCAGGAAAUGUGAUUCACGCGUUACUGCGGGAAUGGAAAUUGUAUGACAUAUUUUGAUGAACUAAGUUAGAAAACGACUACAUGUGCAAACAUUGCAAGCAACUAAAUUAGACGAAAGCUAACAAAUUUCGAAUUAACCAAAUUAGAAAAACAAUCACAAUCGAACUAAUCUCUACUUCCCAUAUGAAGUAGAAGAUGUCCCUUGUUUUGCAUCGGUGAACAACGCGGUUUUCACCCUCUACGAACAAAAAGAUGAAAGUAAAAAUGUUUAACAACAUUAUAAAAAUUAUACAUAUAGGAUUAUAUAUGUAUCUGCACAUAAAGUAUAAAGAUUUGCUAACAGAUUCGAGGUUAAAUUUAACAAAAUAAGUAAUUAUGAAUUGAAAUCAAACUAUAUCAUAGUUGUUAAAAAAUACUUUUGGCUAAUUCUUACAAAUAGAAUGAAAGUGUCGCUUUCUUAUCAACUAUUCAAUUGUCUCAGCUGCGGAAAAAAUUGAUUUCAAUGUGUCCUUUACCAAGUGAAUGAUGGAUAAAAUUGUUAAUUUCAAAAUAAACCAAUUUUCAAAAAUCCUAACAUGAUAUGACAUUGUAAAAAACCUUAAACCCUUUAUUGGAACAAACCUCAAAAUGCCCACUAAUUGUUCUGGAUGGGACACACCAAUUUUUACCAUGAGAAAAAUGCAACUCCAAACCAAAAUUAAGCAUUUGAUAAAUCGUAUUUACUGAAGAGAAAUUUUUUUUGAAAGGGAAGCUUACCAGUGUUAGCAAAGUUAAAUUCAAUGUAAGAAAGUGGAAGAAUAUUGACAUAAACAUAGUAGUGGGAUUGAUGAUGGAUUCAGUAUGUUAUUUUGUAUCAAUUCAAAUGGAUGAAAAAUAUUAAAGGAACUAUAGGUCACAGUUUGGAGUAUGCAAAAGUACUACUUCAAAUUUUCAACAUGCUCAGUAGAUCUCUAAAUUUCAAAAAGUGUACAAAUUUUAGAGUACUCCAACUAACGGUAAUUUUUUGGAGUGCUACCAUACCCUCUCCACUGUUUUAUUUCUUCACUCAAAUUAUAAUUUCACUCAUCAUAAAAAGUUAAAAAAUUAAAAUGUUAGUUUCCAACCCACUAUUUUUCUAAAACAACCUCUAAUUAACAAUUGGUGUAAAUGUGUAUGACCGCAUUAUACAGAGCCACCAACAGCGGCUGUGACUUCAUCUACAGUCGCUCUUCAUUGUACCAGUGAAUCCACCUUCACAAAUUCAAGUCCCCUUUUUGGCACAAGCUGAUGAUGGCGCCAUUAGCGCCACCUUAUCCAAUUCCACACCACGCCUUCUCAUCUAACCAAACAAAGACAAAGCUUGCUUAUACCUCCCAUUCUGAGCACACCCCACAAUCAUGGUGGUCCACGAAACAACAUUCCACUUCGAUAUCUCGUUAAAAAUCCUUUGCGCCCCAUCAACAUCCCGACACCAUACAUAGCCCGCAAGCAGCGAAUUCCAACUUGCAACACUCCUCUCACGCAUACCAUCAAACACCAGGCGUGCAUACUCGACACCACCCCCAAACCCACUUACCAGAACCCUCUUGUACACCUGUUCCCCUUCUAUCACCAACCCUGACCUCGCACAAGAACCAAAAGAACAUACGAAUAGGAAAACCCAUUAGCCUCUGCCUCCAAACCCACCAGCCGUUUAUACAAUUCAACAGACUUCCGCAGAAUUUGCUCCAAGCGUGGCUUCUGAUCAUCUGGCUCCAAACAGUAGUAACUGUGUUGUCAACAUUUUUGAAAAUUUUUAGGGCAUGAUCGAGACACUCAAAAGAAACGUAAAAUGUUAAAAUUCGAACAAGAAGGUAGCUUUUUGUGUGAGUCCAUGAAUUAUUAUUUUGGGUGUGAAUUUGGGUGUACUUGCACAUCAAUGGAAGCAAGUAAUUUUUUAUUUUGGUCCUUAUAUGUCAUUUUACAAAAGAGUAAAAUUGACAUUAAAAAAUUAUUAAAAUAGCGGGUGAGAAGAUAAGACUGUAGAGUAGAAUUAUUAGCACUCAUUUUUUAUAAAAUCGCAUUCUAGGAAAGUAGGAAUGGAACUUCCAUUCUUAUUAUAUAUACAAAGUAUGCAGAUGCUCCCUUGCAAUUGGCUAAUGGUGAUAUUUCAAUCAUCCGAGAAAAACUCCGUGCUGAUAUGUAUGAACAUGCAUCAUCUGAUUCUAGUGCAAAGUGGGCAGAAUCGAGUGCCCAUUAUAAGGUAGUGUUCUACCUAAUGUAUUAAAUUUUUUAUUGUCAUAUGGCCAAGGACACUUAUUGAGUUAAUUAAGCUCCAUAGAGGAAUAGAGAAAUUGAAGGGCAAGAUAGAGAGGUCAUUUGGGGGAAGAGGAAGCCGGGAAGGUGAGGCUGCCGGCUGCAGGAUGAUAUGGUUGUAGCAACGAUCAUUCAGUGUUGUUUGAUGACUCGUUUGGAAGUGCUUUGAAAAUGAUUAGAAAUGCUUUUGGAGAAUUUUUUUUUUAGUUUAAAAAACACUUGAAGUGUUUCUUGCAAGAAGUACCAAUUAUGUACUUGUCCAAGAAAUACUAAGUACUUUUACAGGAUUCACUUGCAUUUUUAUUAAUGAGUGAUUCAAAAAACAUAUUCACCAUAAGCACUUUCAGCUAUUUUAAAAACAUUUAUAAACGGACUUGAGUUUCUUUCCGUUUGGAAAUUUUCAUCUUUUAAAUAUUAAAAAAGUAGUUUUUUUUUUUUAAAUUGCAUAAAGAAAACAUAUAAAAUAUCAUUUAAGUUGUAAUUAUCGUUCAGCUUACUAUACAUGUUUGAACCUUUUAUAUGAUUUGAUUGUAAUAAAAUCACGUUUACGGAUGUUGUCCCUUAUGUUCAUUUGUCAAAAGGCAAGUCCUUUUGGCUUGGUAAAGGCCAUGUAGUCGUUCGUCCGAAAAAACAAAGGCCAGGCUGUCCGGUCAAAUUGUGGCAUCAACUCCCUUCUCUCUCUAACCCUCACACGCUCACUACUCACAAUCCUUUGGGUAUUAACUACAUUGAGAAUAAUCAAAGGACAAUGAAUAAUUGAGAAAGAUGAAGAGCUAGAGAGAAAUUUUAAAGAGAAAUAUGGCUUCUGUAUUUCUAAGAAAAUAACUAACUAAUUACAUUUGUCAAUUGCAGUUCUUUAUAUGAUAAAACAAUACAAACUUACUUGUAACUGAUUAACCAGCUAACAAAUCAUUUAAUAGCCUAACAAAUAUUCUAACAACUUUGAUUGACGUGGCAAUGAUUAUAUAACAACCUAUAAUCAAGAUAAACACACAUUUUUUGUCUCUCACAUACUCUCAUUUAGUUAUGUCAAUUGUUUUUUAGGAUAAUUCUUUGUGUCUAGUUUUGGGUAAAUAGAUUAACAAAAAUCAUAGUACUGUCUAUAAUUUGAUGGAGAUGUUGAAUUAUUGUAUUUUCAGUCUCUUCAAACAAAAAUGCUACACUCACUACAUAUUUGUACUAUCAUUUGUACAAUCUAUCAAAUAAAAGUUGAGUCCGCCAACACAUGUAAAUCUCAUAUCAAUUAGAGAGAUGGUACAAAUAUAUUGCAAAUGUAGUAUUUUUGCUAAAUUAAACUAGCAAGUAUAACGUCUCAGUGUUGAGGGAUUCUUAAACAUAUGUAGGUUGAGAAAUGAUUUCCACACAAUCUUUUUUUUUUUUGGUAGUAAACUCCUAUUAUGUUUUGUCUUGAUUCUCCUCUGAUUUAUUCACCUAAAAGUUAGAAAUAGCUUUCGAGGGUGUGUCAAGAAUAUAAGUGUGUAAAAUUUAUUUCCAAGUAUGUAGGCUUAUUUGUGUGUGAGGUGAAUUUUAGUGUUAGUGUUCUAAUAGGCCUGUACUGUUUUGUAGUUCUGAAUUUAUUUGUAUGUCUUAAUCUUGCUUAUGCAUCAUACCAACCACCUUGACGAAGGUGUAACUCAAAACGGCAACUGUUGGAGUCAUAAGCAUUUGAGGUAUAUUGGUUACUCUCUGUCUCUCUAAUUUAACAGAGGCUUUAGUUAGGGGUUCAUUUUCUUAGAAAAUUCACUACCAAAAAACUGGCAUUUGGGUACAAAACUAAGGACACUAAUGAAGAGUUUGUGUCUCUAUGAACACCAAUACAAUGGACCAGUGCCCAUUCAAUAAAGAGCACAAUGUAUUGUGCCCAAUGUAAAAGAAAAUUGACACAAACACAUUAGGCUGACAACUUUUUGAUAAAAAAUACUCAGAAAGGGAUAUUUGUGUCUAUAAAUAGACUUAAGCGCACAAUUGUACGUGUCCUACUUUUAUAAUCGUAUAAGUAUAUGUGUCUUACUAAACAAAUCUGGGACAACUAAAACAGAAGAGCGGGUCAUACUUUUUCUCUCCGUUGUGAGAGCCUUCACUCCGCAGUGAGAGUCUUCCCUCCUGUGUGAGAGCCUACAACAUGAUAACUCCGCCCUCAACUGUACCAUACCAGAUCUAAUAGUGCAUCCCCCUCCAGUUUUCAACCAUUUCCUCCCUUUCCCCAAAUUUUCAAUUGUUCCCAAAAUCGAGUUCAACUAGUCUGGGCGGUUGGGUUUAUUAAGUGCCUGCGCUUCUUACACCUUUCCUCCCUUGUUCAAUUAUUGAUUGUGUCCUCUUCGACCAUCAGCAUUGAUUUCUCCAUCUUUUCCCUCUGCUCAUGCGGUGAGUAGUUGGGUCCAACGGCUGACGAAUUGAAGGCUUUCAAUUCAACUUCAAAUGGGCCAUAAAGGUCAAUUAGGUAUUGCAGAUUGGUUGGUCCCCUUAGUUCCCUUCGUUCCCCUGGGUUCCUUUGUCCCUCCCCUGACGCAUUUAACAGACUACAGAUCUCCGGAUUAUCCUUGCAAAUAUUCAGAUGUCAGGUACAAUUACUCGGAAACUCAACCACCGAUUAAUAACUCAAUUGCUCCUUGGGUAAGAGUUGUGCUCUGGAUCUGGGUAAGUAUUGGUUAUAGGCAUUUUAAACACCUUAAGAAAGCUGGGGGUUUGCCGAGUUACAGUUUCAAACACUGUGAAGAAUAUCACCUACAGGAUAACUUUGUUGAACUGGAGUCGGCCCAAUCUGAAGUAGAGGAUCUAGUGGUGCAGCUGGAGGAAUCGCUUGAACUCUCACAUAUGGAACAAAGUGUGAAGCUGGUAGGGGCAGCUCUGACAAAAAAAAAAAAAAAAACCCUAAAUAAAUGGGGUGUUCGAAAUAUUCUGAGGAGUGUUUGGGGUGAGUUUGGGGAAGUAAACAUAAACUGGGUCUAGGAAAACACGUUCAUCAUUAUAGUAAGAGAUGAGGAGACGGCGAAUCGAAUACUAGAGCAGGUCCCUUGGGCAGUUAUGAGUAAGAACUUAUCUGUCAAAAGAUGGCCUCAAGAACUGGCACUUGAAGAGGUAAUGUUGAGAAAGGUCCCAUUUUGGAUCCAAAUGAAGGGCGUGUUAUUACAUCUGAGCACAGAGGUAAAUGCCAAGAAAUUGGCAUGCCAUAUGGGAGAGGUUAUUAAGAUAGAAGAGCUGUCACUGGCUAGAGGGUUCUUAAGGGCCCGGGUGUUGGUGGAUACAGAUAACCCUCUUAUAAGCGGAUGCUGGCUUCCACGUCCUGGGGAUAAGGAAUCCUGGAUCGAGUUUAGAUAUGAGCGGCUCCAAGAUUUCUGCUAUAGGUGUGGGAGGAUCGGCCAUGUCAUGACGGAGUGUACCUUUGAAAAAAGCAGGAGUGGGGCUGCUGGGUUUGGUGAAUGGACUCGGAUGAAACAACCCAGGCCUCUAUAGGAGUAUGUCCAUCCACUACCAGUAAUGCAAUGCAACCGUCGCCAUGCCGGAAUGAUACGAGAGAAGCGGAACUUAAACUUUCAAGAUAUGGCAGUCUCAACAAGCACGAAGGGGAUUCUAGAUUAGGGAUCAUCUGAACCCCAAAGGCUGGGAAUUGUCUUCCAUGAUCUCGGGAACCAGGGGAGAAUUGGGGGGGGAUUAUUGCUAUGGUGGGACCUCCUGUUAGUGGAAUUCUUCCCCCAGUGCAAUGCGAGAAUGUAAUUCGGCCUGAAGCGGAACUAACAAUCCAAUCCUGGGUGUGAGUGAUGACCUUGGUCUGCUUCCGGUGGAGACCCACACCUUUGAAGAGGGGGAAAGGGAAAGGGGUAGAAGCUCCCACCAAACUUCAAUCCAAGGAUUCUUUAAUGGCUUGGGCCUAAAGAGGAAAACUGAUAGGAAGAUUCAGGGGGGAGGACAAGCUCGGAGUAAAAGAGUGAAAAAAAAAGCAGGCUGCUUAGGAGAAGGAAGAUGACAGCGAGUAGGGGGCGAAAUCCCAGUAUAAGUGGCGGUGGCAUAGAAGGUGGAAUUUCUGUUCUCGUGGAGGCAAAUCUGCUUGAUGUGCCGAUUGGUCAGGGGAAGAAAGUGAGAAGCCUGCGGGUUGGAAGCACAAACCAGGAUUCUAAUGCACCUCAGACUAAGAGGGCGGGGGUGGAACCUUGGGGUGGUGGCGGCUGGCCCAUAACAGUUACACCAUCGCCAUGAUCUACUUAAUGUGGAACUGCCAUGGUCUUGGGUCGGACGCGGUAGUUCGAGCUUUUCAUGGGCUUAUUAGGCGGUACAGACCCUGUGUGAUCUUUCUGUCCAAGACGAAGAUGAAGGAUCACAAAUUAGAAGGAGUUCGGCACAUAAUGGGUUAUACAUACAGAUUCUCGGUCCCAACUAUGGGGGCUGCGGGUGGUCUUAGUCUUUGGUGGAACGACCCUGUCCAAGUGACUAUCCUUUUCUCAUCAAAGAAUCUAAUUCACACAAGAGUCCGAGAUGGGGGUUGUGAUGAUUGGUGUUUUGCAUCAUGGGUUUAUGGUACUCUAUAUAGAGCAGAGAAUAGGGCAUUCUAGAGGUGGAUCUCGGAGGUUUUACAGCCUUGCCCAACCCCGUGGUUUUGUGGAGGAGACCUGAAUGAGUAUCUUUGGGAUAGUGAAAAAGCUCGGGGGAGGGAGGAGUCUCGCUCUCGCCCCCAGUUCCUGCAGGAUUUUAUGUCGGAAAUAGAGCUCGUGGAUUUACAUUUCAGUGGACCAGCAUUCACCUGGAGAGGUUCCCGUAAUGGAAGCUUGGUGCAGGAAAGAUUGGACCGUGGGAUGGUGAAUGGCAGUUGGCAAGAUUGUUGGCCUAAUACUUCAGUCACCCAUGGAACGGUUAUAGCCUCAGACCACUGUUUAGCUUUGAAAUUCUUUCCUCGCCAAGCUUUUCAACAAUUGAUCUGACAUUUAUAAGUGUUAAAUGGAGUAUUAGCGCAGUCGUAUACCAUCCAAUGGAGCAUGAUCAACCAAAGCUGGUAUGUGGUGGUAUGGAUUAAUAGAGUACUUAACUGCAGUUUUUUGCUCAAUAUUAUAUGCACACAAAUAUGUAUGUGUAUCUGUGCCUGUCUGUGUACUUAUGUACAGUUUUUUGCAUAAUUUUAUAAUAUUUAACUUGCAAACAAAGAGCUAAUGACAAGUUGCUUAAGAAUGAUUAAUAGAUCAAUCAGUCACAUUAAAGCUUAUACAGUAAUUUUUUGUUGUAACUGAACUUACUUAUCAUAAUUCUAUGUACUAUUUGCCACAAUGGAAAUCGCAUAUGCUGUCAAGUGACACUAGAAUCUGUGCUAGUGCAGAAAUUUGGAAUGAAAUUGCAGCUGUGUCAGGGGCUGAGUCCUUUAUGACCACAUCGAAAGAAACUACUGCCAGAAUGAGAACCUCAAGCGGUCCAAUUAUAGUCAAAGCUACAGUGCUUUCUGUUGUGUCCAAAACCUAGGGCAUGUUCGUAACUGUCUGGAAACUUAAACAUAAAAAAGGCAUAAAAAAAAAUAUAAAAUGUUUGUGGAAGCCAGACUUGUAGUCAGGAGGAGGCUGAAAUGCCUCUAUGAAUCUUCUUGGCUACCAAAAAGAGUGGAUAACCAUGAGUUGCAACCAGUUGUCCCUCUUUAAAAAAAAAGAAAAUUGAAAAAUGAUUAUAUAGGGUAUUCAGUAUUCUAGUGAGUACAAAGUAUUAUCCUAGAAUUUUUGCCAACUGAGAAAAUGGCGGACUUUCAUGGGGUAAAUUACCAAGUUUGACCUCUUUCUUGGUGAGUAUUUGCUGCUUUGCCAUUUGUUGCAGGGUCUAUGGAAGUAGUAUGCUAGAGAUUUUCCCGUGUAUCGGAAACACAUUUCGAUACAUCAAGUGUAAUAAUACAAUUGAUUGGAAAUUUAAAAAAAAAAUCAACUAAUUAUAUUAUGACACUUGGUGUACUGAGAUGUAUUUUCAGCAUACUGAAAAAUUUCUCAAUAAUAUGCAUACUUUGUCUCUUUGCCUGCACUCCACACCAUUGUACACCUCAUGGGUCCAUGUGUCAAUGGAUGCAUGGUGUAAAUAAUGUCUCACUCGUUGGUUAGCUCUUCUCCUGUAGAAGUUUACGAACAUCACCAUCUUCCAAUCUCAAACCUGAGAACGAUGAUGCUCACAAUUUGAUGAAAUAUAGAUUAUGAGUUUGGAUAUUGGCUUUGCGAUUUUUUCCAUUAAUCUAGUAAUUCGUUCAGUCUACAAUUCGGUUGGACUUGCCAAAGAUUCUUUGCAUACUUUUUUAAUUUAAUUGGAUCCCUCGGUAAAAAGAGGGAUUCGAACUUAAAAAGUUUUGUGAGUUUUUGAACAUUGAAGAUAAUAAAGUCCAUGGUUUUUGUAUUGGUUGUUUGUUUAUUCUUUUUGAUCGAAUGAAAACUAUUGGCUUUGAGAUCUAAGGUUGUAUGUCUAACAGUUAAAAACACUAGGAAAUGUGUUGGAUUUAGCUUUAAAAUUAAGAGAUUUUGGCUUUGAGAUCUAAGGUUGUAUGUCUAACAGUUAAAAACACUAGGAAAUGUGUCGGAUUUAGGUUUAAAAUUAAGAGAUUUUGGACCUUGAAGCUUUUCUUAGGGAAUAAAAUAAAUAUCGGAAUCCUUCUCUUCCUAUUUAAAUGCUAAUUAUUUUAUUGUGAUUUUGUAUGUUUUCUUCAACGCCAGUUAUUCUUAAAUUAAGAUAAUGUUUUUUUGUUAGGGAGUGAAGAUGAAUUUUAGAGACAGAAAAACAAAAUUAGUAACAUAUAAACCUAAAAUUGCAAAUUAAUCCAAAAAUAACAAAUAAUUAGAUAAAAAGUUAUAGCCAUAUACAUUUCUAUAUAAUUUUUGAAAAAAAAUGAAAAAUUAUGUAAUAUGAAUUUGUCUGUCAGAACAUUAUAAUUACUUUAGUCUAAAGUAGGGGAGGUGGCACUGUGCAAUUUUGGGGUACAUUUCAGUUUAUUUACGAAAUUGCCAUUGAAUCUCUCUGCCCCCUGAUUUAAGUUUAUUUGCAAAAUUGCCACUGGGCUUCAUAAAGGGUUUUGGGUCGUUGGGCUAGAAUUUCCGUUCAGAUUGGAAUUUUCGGUUUUGCGAUCCACACGUUGAUAAUCGCUGUGUAGGAUCGCCGACUGUGUGGGAUUUGGUGAGGGGAUGGUUACGUGUCCAUCAUCGUCGAAAGGUCUGCUUCGACUGCAACGUCUUGACUUUUCUUUCCGUUUCAACUUGUCUCUCACAAGCCUCUGCUUCAGUCGCUCUUGAUCGUCGCCUUUUCUAAGGCGUCCGAGGGACAAAAACCGAAAUCUAAACCUCCACCACAAAUGAAGUCACGAACGCCACUCUCACUCACCCUCCACUGUUGCACACGAACCCAAUCAUAAUUCUGAAAUCCAAACAUAACCCAGAUGUUAAUCCUUCAGAGAAUGGCAAUGGCCACUUCUUCUUCCUUCCUCUCAAUCCCUCUCCUAAAGACCUCUUCUUUGCUUUCCCCAAUUAAACACUGCGCUUCGCCACUGAGCUCCGAGUUCAGGGCUAUCCCUCUACGGCGGUAGAAAUGGAGUCUUCACCUCCUCGGCGAUGGCCACGAAAUCAAACACCAGAAGCACAAAGGCGGCCAGUUUCUCUUGCUUCUCAGAGUUAUAGAAAUGAAACACCUCAGCCAAAUCCAGUAACAAGCUCAUUCCCGGAGUCCUCAGUGUCAUCCAAUAUCUCGUCAUCAGAUACCGGCAUGGAAUACUCAAGCCCUCCUUUAAGACAAAGGCGAACGGCAAACGUUGAGGAAGUUGAAUCUUCAUGAUGUAUGAUAUAUGUUUUAGUUACUGCUCAUUUGUUUGUACCAUGUGCAUCAGAUUAAGGUCACUACUCAUUUGUGCCAUGGUUUUCAUUCUUUUUUAUUUUGUUUCUUGUUGUAGUUACUCAUUCUCGGUAAUCAACUGAUAGUAAGGGCUGGUUUGGUAUUGCUGUGCUUUAAAAAAAAACUGGUUUUGCUGUGUUGUGAGAAUAAGCAGCUGUGAAAUAAAGUAGUGUUUGGUAAAUUUUUUUGUAAAAGUGCUUUUGAAAAAAAAAAUAUUAUAAUGUUUUGUAAACUUUUAUGUAAAACAGAUGUGAAAAAAAGUCAGUUUUUCAAAGAUGGGCUUUGUAGCUUCUUGUUUUUGGCUUUUUUUCACCCAAAACUAUGAAAAAAAAGCUGAAGUUGAAUAUUUACCAAACACAAAAAAGCUCCCAACUUUUUUUUUAUACCAAUUUUUUUUCAGAAUCACCUCAGUACCAAACCAGGGCUAAGUUCUCUCUUCUUUUUUUUUCUUGUUAUUUUAGUUGCUUAUAUAUCACUUCUGUUAACAUUUUCAGGUUUUCAACAAUCUUCAAUUACGAUAGCAACUUGAUUCCUAGGAUUUGGAAUAAGAAGGGAGACAUUAGUUGUCACAUUCCAGUCUCGGCUCCGCUGUAGCAUGAUAUUGUCCAUUUUGGGUUCCGGCCACUCUCUCACGAUUUUGUUUCUGGGAACUCAUACGAGAACUUCCCAGUGGAUCACCCAUCUUGGGAUUGCUCUCGUCCGAACUCGCUUAACUUUGGAGUUCCGAUGGAACUCAAAACCAGUGAGUUCCCAAAAGACCUCAUGCAAUAUGGAGGUAGUCAUGUACAUAUAAGACACAUUACCCCCUCUAUGUUGGUCAGUGUGUGAUGUUACAUUAAUACCAUUACGAAGGAUGCUCGAUCCGCUGUAAUUAUUUAGAAACUUAAUGGAUGGAGGUAUAACCUGUCUGUAUUUUGUUUGCGUUUAAACGAUAUCUUAGCAACUUUUUUCUUUUAUAUCUCUUUGAUGCAGUCUCUUAAGAUUUUGUUGGCUAUAGCUGCAAUUCGCUUGAGUGAGAAGCCAAAUAACAUUGAAAAGGUUCUCUUUUCUUUUCUAAUGGAUGGAACUAAAGCCUCUAUAGUCUAUAGAUCCUCUUACAUCAAAACACUUGGGAAGAGGUACUGUGUAUAAGGAUUUUUUUUUCUUUAUCUCCAUAUGGAUAGACUUUCUAUUGUCAAACUAAUUUCUUAUCAAUAAUUAAUUCUGACUAUAAGGAAUUUUCCAUUAAUCUAGUUAUUCGUUCAGUCUACAAUUCGGUUGGAGUUGCCAAAGAUUCUUUGCAUAAAAUUUUAAUUUAAUUGGAUCCCUCAGUAAAAAGAGGGCUUCGAACUUAAAAAGUUUUGUGAGUUUUUGAACACUGAAGAUAAUAAAGUCCAUGGUUUUUGUAUUGGUUGUUUGUUUAUUCUUUUUAAACGAAUGAAAAUUGUUGGAUUUGUGAUCUAAUGUUUAUGUAUAGUAGUUAAAAACACUAGGAAAUGUGUCAGAUUCAACUUUAAAAUUCAGAGAUUUUGGACCUUGAAGCUUUUCUUAGGGAAUAAAAUAAAUAUCGGAAUCCUUCUUUUCCUAUUUAAAUGCUAAUUGUUUUAUUGUGAUUUUUUAUGUUUUCUUCGACUCAUGUUAUUCUUAAAUUAAGAUAGUGUUUUUUUGUUAGGGAGUGAAGAUGAAUUUUAGAGACAAUAAAACAAAAUCAGUAACAUAUAAACCUAAAAUUGCAAAUUAAUCCAAAAAUAACAAAUAAUUAGAUAAAAAGUUAUAGCCAUAUACAUUUCUAUAUAAUUUUUGAAAAAAAAGGAAAAAUGAUGUAAUAUGAAUUUGUCUGUCGGAACAUUAUAAUUACUUUAGUCUAAAGUAGGUGGAAGUGGCACUGUGCAAUUUUGGGGUACAUUUUAGUUUAUUUACGAAAUUGCCACUGAGUCUCUGCCCCCUGAUUUAGCGUUAUUUACAAAAUUGCCACUGGGCUUCAGAAAGGGUUUUGGGUCUUUGGGCUGGAAUUUCCGUUCAGAUUGGAGUUUUCGGUUCUGCGAUCCACAUCAUCGCUGUGUAGGAUCGCCGGCUGUGUGGGAUUUGGGGAGGGGAUGGUUACGUGUCCAUCAUCGUCGAAAGGUCUGCUUCGACUGCAACGUCUCCACUUUUCUUUCCGUUUCAAUUUGUCUCUCACAAGCCUCUGCUUCAGUCGCUCUCGAUCGUCGCCUUUUCUAAGGCGUCCGAGGGACAAAAACCGAAAGCCAAACCUCCACCACAAAUGAAGUCACGAACGCCACUCGCACUCACCCUCCACCGUUGCACACGAACCCAAUCAUAAUUCUGAAAUCCAAACACAACCCAGAUGUUAAUCUUUCAGAGAAUGGCAAUGGCCAUUUCUUCUUCCUUCCUCUCAAUCCCUCUCCCAAAGACCUCUUCUUUGCUUUCCCCAGUUAAACACUGCGCUUCGCCACUGAGCUCCGAGUUCAGGGCUCUGUCCCUCUACGACGGUAGAAAUGGAGUCUCCACCUCCUCGGCGAUGGCCACGGAGGCUCAGAUCUCGACCCAAGACGACAAAUUGAAGGAUGAAGAAAAUAAGAACAUAUGGAAAAAUGGGUGUACAGCAGUAGAUAAGGUGCGAAAAUUUUCAUCCUGUUUUUGGGAAUGUGAGAAGAUACAUGGGUUUCUAUUUUGAUAAAGUGUUGAGGUCGAGCUAUGUUCAUUUUUUUCUGAAUUUCCUUGUAGUUUUGGUAUUAAUGGCGCCUUUUCCGCUGUUAUGGUGAUGAACUAUUUAUAUGUGUUUGACUGCAGUGUGCACACGUGAUGGCCAUGGCUGUUCAAAAGCUCUUCCCUGAUGCAAAAGUGACAAUUGGUCCAUGGAUAGAAAAUGGGUUUUAUUAUGAUUUUGAUAUGGAGCCUUUGACGGACAAAGAGUUGAAGAGAAUCAAGAAGGAGAUGGUAAGUGGAAUUUUAGUAUAAGUUAUCAUGUUUGUAUCAAAGUUUUGGAACCAUGAAACUGUUGAAAACUAUUCAUGAGCAUUUCUUUUGUGAUUUGUAGGAUCGCAUCGUUGGAAGAAACUUACCGCUCAUACGAGAAGAAGUUUCAAGAGAUGAAGCUCACAAAAGAAAAACCGCUCUCAACGAACCAUACAAAUUGGAAAUUUUGGAUGGUAUUAAAGAAGAUCCCAUUACCAUAUAUCAUAUUGGUAAGGGUUUCACUAUAUUCAGGCUCAAUAUAGGAUGGAAGGUGAUGAUUUAAUGUGCAGGAACUGUGCGUAAAGGAAUAAAAAAGAGAGGGCGGGGGUGUGCUCAGGGAAAACAAUGUUGUUGGUGCUCUUUAAAAAUGAGUUAUUGAUAUGCAGAUUGAAAAGGAGACUAAUUUGAAGGUGGGAGGAACCUUUUGGUCAAGCUAACCAAAUUAUACUUAUGUUUAUACAUAUGCAUGCUUGUACUGGGAUUUGAUUGUGUUUUAAACUAGCAUCCUGUCAUAUUAGACUGUCUUUAUGUCAUAAUUCAUCAUAGUAUGCCGAAUUCUUCAUAGGUGAUGAAUGGUGGGACCUAUGUGCGGGGCCCCAUGUUGAAAAAAAACUGGAAAUAUUAACAGAAAAGUUCUCGAACUUGAGUCUAUUGCUGGUGCCUACUGGAGAGGAGAUGAAAAGAAACCGAUGCGGCAGAGGAUCUAUGGCACUGCAUGGGAGAGUGAAGAUCAAUUGAAGGCAUUUCAAAGAGGAAGCUAAACGUCGAGAUCACAGGCGCCUUGGUCAAGUUCUUGACCUGUUUUCUAUACAGGUACUCAGAAUUGCCCUGAAUCUCUUUCUGCUGUUUACGCAGAUUUAUCAGUUAGCAAUCCCAUUAUUUGUAAUUAUGAGGAUUCUUGCAUUGAACAUGUUCAUUGUUGAAUUUUCACAGAAUGAUGCUGGUGGGGGUUUAGUGUUAUGGCAUCCAAAGGGUGCUAUUGUGAGGCAUGUAAUGUAAGAUCUGUGGAAAAAGAUCCACAUAGAAUGUGGUUACGAUCUGCUGUAUACUCCACAUGUUGCAAAGGGGCAGAUAAGUGGUCAUCUGGAUUACUACAAGGAGAAUAUGUAUGAUCAAUGAAUGUUGAGGAUGAACUUUAUCCAUUUCGACCGAUGAACUGCCCCUAUCAUAUCUUGGUUUACAAUAGGAAGCCUCACUCAUAUCAUGAAUUUCCUAUUCGAGUUACUGAGUUGGGAGCCGUAUAUAGACACGAAUUAUCUGGAAGCUUGCCCGGUCUUUUUCGUGUAAGAGGUUUUACUCAGGUAUGAUGUUAGUAUUUGCAAACUGUUAGUCUAUAAUCCUAGGUGUAUGAAGUGGUUUUUUUUUGUUUAACCUCGGGACCUGUUGCAGGAUGAUGCCCACAUAUUUUGUCUAGAAGAUCAGAUCAAAGAUGAAAUUAGGGGUGUCCUAGAUCUUACCGAAGAACUUUUGUUGCAAUUCGGCUUCAGAAAAUAUGAGGUCAAUCUCUCUACGAGGCCAGAGAAAGUUGUUGGAGAUGAUGAUAUAUGGGUGAAACUGUGAAAGCAACAUCUGCCCUUAGAGAUGCUUUGGAUGAUCAAGGUUGGAGCUAUCAAAUUGAUGAAGGUGGUGGUGCCUUUUAUGGUCCAAAGAUUGAUCUUAAGUUGAGGAUGCCCUUGGAAGGAAGUGGCAGUGCUCAACUAUACAGGUUAAUCCUGAACUCAUGACGGGAUAAUUCUAAUGUGUGCUUUGUUUUUUAAUUGGUAGUCUCUCCGUCUAUCUCUGUAUCACUUUGUAAAAUGUUCAUUGGAGAUUUGAGCAUCUUUUUUGAAUUGAGUGAAUUACAUGGAUUUAUUUGAUAGACUAAAGCCACUUAUUAUUGUUAUUUUAAAUUGUUUGAUCUUUUGUAUUUCCCAAAUUGUACAGGUUGAUUUUAACCUACCACAGUGUUUUGACUUAACAUAUGCUGACUCAAAACUCUGAAAAGAAGCGGCCUAUCAUGAUUCAUAGAGCUGUUCUUGGGUCAUUGAAGCGAUUUUUUGGGGUCCUUAGAGAGCAUUAUGCCGGGGAUUUUCCAUUAUGGCUUUCGCCAGUACAAGCUCAUGUUUUACCAGUUACUGACUCUCAGGUUUGUAAAGCAGUUGCAAGUUUAAUUUGUCAAUUAACUCAAGAACCCUCAACACACCUGCACAACGGUUACCUGGGCUACGACCCCCAACUCUCCUCCCAGCGAUUCGACUCCUUUGUCGACUCCGAGUCGCUCAAGGACUCCGCCACCGAUUCCCCAAUCUUCCACAGCUCUGCUGUAGACAACGCUUUCGCCACUCAGCCGGCAUCGGAGGCCUUCUCUCCUCCGUUGAUCUACGCUGAAUCGAACGGCCGGGGCUUUGAUGGAGGGUUUGGCGGGUCCGACGAUCCGAUUUUGCCGGCUCCAUCAGAGAUGCUGCCUGAGGAGGGCUUCGCUCUCAGAGAAUGGAGGGGGUAGGUUCUCGAAUUCUAAUUGUUUUCGAUUGAACCGAUAGUUCUGUAUAGCAAUUAAAUUUUGACUCUUUUGUGCAAUUUAGUUGAAAGUUGUUGGUUUUGAUUUGGCUUGAUCUUUCUGUUGCUCAGAAAUUGAGUGGAAGUUGUUGUUUUGAUUUCGGUAGUUUUCAAGAAUUGGAUGCUUAGUGAUCAGUAAUAGUCUGGCUUUAUCGGGUAAGGAGAUAAAGCAAUUAAAUUUCAAAUUUUGGAUUUAUAGUUCGUAUUUUGAGCCUGAAUUCAUGAAACAAACAUAACCCAUUAUUUAUUAGCGAUUAAUGGUAUGAUUAAUUUAGUUUUUAAUCAUAAUCAAUAGCAUGUAGCUUUAGCAGAAGUGGGGUUUGGGAAAUUGGCUAGCACCCAUGUUACUUUUUGUUUGUCUGCUUUCCAUUUCUCCUUUCUCUUGCCAUCUUCUCUGUAUUUUGGCUGCUUCUCUCUCCCGCACUCCCUUUUUUACUCUUGGUUCUGUGGUUCUCCAGCCGCCGUUAGGUUUUUGUGGUCGGACAACGAUGGAAUCCGAGGACGAUGACUACUGCAGCAGCGACGAUUACUACUAGAAAUUUUUAUUUUGAAUUCGUAUCCCCUAAUCGCCGAUCUCCUUAGGUUUGCCCCAAGCUGGCAAAGGAAUAAGGGGAACGGAGCUCAGACUAUCAGAGGUAUAAAUUCACAUCCCUAAUUUUUUUUUUUUAUUAAUUUCAACCGGAUCUGAGUAAUUCUAAGUCAUGGAUCUAUGAAUAGUGUCUGUUGAGUCUCUGAGCGUCUCUAUUUUUUUUCAUCAAAUGGUCUCUGUAGUGUCUCUCUGUAUUUGUGCAUCCAUAUGGGAAUAUGAUAUUUAAAAGCUCAUUAUUGUCCUGGGAAACCUCCUAAAUUAUCGAUUCCUUGCUUUCUACGUACAAUGCUUCAUAUUCUGUUUUCUAAUUUUCUGAUUUUGGGGUGGAGGGAGUGCUAAUAUGGUAAUUUUCGGGGAGUUUGGGUCUUUGCGGGAUUUUUUUGGGUAAAUUUGUGAUUUGCAGUUGAUUUAUGGGUUUGGUUUGAAUGCACUGACAAAAGUUAUUGUUUCUGUUAAUGCAGAUGAUGAAAGGUAAGUUUGAACGGAGAAAGGGUUGAAGUGGUGUCUGGUUAGAAGGAGAAAGAUCCAUGGCAGUUGGCACGACCAUGGCCACGGCCACGAAGUGGAGACAUUGUUGGCGAUAUCGAAGCUUCUCAAGGAAUUGACCAAGGAGGAGGACAUGAAAGUACAUAUUUGGAUUUCAUCAGCUUGACCAAGAUCAUGAGCAUUUUGAUUGUCUGCAGCUCUCAGUUCUUGGUAUUUCUUCUUACACAUUUAACCUGGUUGAAUUUUUUAUUUUGUGGGUUUGGAAAUUCAAGUUUUUUUUUUCUGCAAUUUAUAUUUCCAUUGAAGUUUUUGAACUGUUCUGUUUGGUUGCCAGUAUGAUUACUUAUAGACUAUUUCGCCAUAUGCAUUUGCUACAAAAUGUAAACUUAUUUUAAAUGAAACAUGUUGAAGUCUUGCAUAAGCUAUUGUGUGUUGUUAAAAGAGAGGGGGCAUCUAGCAUACAACACACACGCCAUGGGUGUACAACUAAGUUUGCCAUGGAAGGAUUUCUAGAUGUCUUCGAUGCCUCUCCUUCAGCCAAACCUCUGCAUUUACAUGAAUUUUUAGAUUGCAGAGUCUGACAGCAUGAAGCAUGUAGACCGUUAGCAGCUAUAGAUUUAUUUUUCUAAACAUUUUGGAUAGGAAAAUAAAUGGUUGGUAAAGGUAAAACUGAAAUUGAUAAACACUGAGGUUAAACAUGUACAGUUGAAACCGUAUCAUUUGUAUAAUUUUUUCCCAUAAAAAAAAAGAAAUUAGGGUCACAUGGCUUCGCCAAGCUCACAGCACACACGCCAUGAGAAGAAAUUUAAUGACUAUUGUCUGUUGCUAAAAGAGAGGAAAGGUAAAAGGUAAUGGAAUAAAUCUGUUCUCAAAAUCUAAAACUAAUAUUCUCAAUGUGUUUGAAUUCUCUUCUUUUCAUUGUCAUUAUUUGGCUUCCUUCUUUCAUUGUUUGUUCAUUAUACAACUGUUUUACUUACCAUUAAAAUCCAACUGAUAUAGUUUGAUAUUACAGAUAUGAAUCCCAGAAAUUAGUUAAACAGUUUAUAAUCUAUUCAAAUUAACAAGAAAAACAUAUGUUCCCAUGCAUAUAGAAACUCAGUGGAGAUAAAACUACAUUUGUAAAUGGGGCAGAGCACCAAUGAAGUGAUUAUGGUGCAUGCGUUGUGUGGUCUAAUAUAGGAAGUAUAUUAGUUGUACGAGUGAUAAUGCGACUUAUUGCAUGUAAAUUUAUCAUCAAAUUUGAAAGAUAUUGUACAUUUAUUUUGGUGAUCGAUAUAUCAUUGUUUGAUUUCAGUCUUUUGUUUUUACCUUUUCAAAUAGUUGGUCUGCAUCUCUAUAUUUUCCCAUUGCCUCCACGCAAAAGGUCAAUUUUCUUUUUUGUCAUUAAAAUGUUCUUAGAUUCUGGUUAUGUGUUUGGUUUUUUGCUAUUGUAUCUUUUGAAGUUUGCUUAUUUGUAUAUUUGUUUGCAUCUGGUUUUGCUUGGUUGGUCUAUAGGUGGCUUGGUUGUAUCUUCCCCCUUCCUUUUUAUAAAUUUAUUGCUUGGCAAUGUUAAUUUGUAACUGCAAUGCGCAAAAAAACUAGGACUAGCAAGAGAGUGGAUGAUACAAGAAAGACAUAAUAUCCUGCUUUAACUGGUGUACAAGUGUGUAAUGACAAUAUUUAUCAUGCUAACAAUGUGGAAAUCAACCUGCAUUAUUAGCUUUUACUACCCUCAUGUAAAUUUGUAAUCAGUCAUUGAUUUCUGUUCUUUUAUGCACAGUUUUGGGUUUGUGGUAUUGUGUUGAUUGAUGCUAUUGGGGCUGGAGAAUGUUAAAAUCCCAUGUUGGAAGCUUAACUAAAUGAAAAACAAAAAGAAAUGAAUGUUGGCAAUGUUAAUUAGUAGUGAGCCGCUAGACCGCCUCUAGAAUGAUGGCUGGCUGGCUAGCCCCACCAAUUUUCUCUUUUGUGUUUCCAUCUAAUUUGGUGUAUAUUUUUGGCAGAUGGAUUCGGGAGAUGCCGAUUGCUAGCAGAUGGAACAAUUGCUUCUUGGGCUCUUCUAACUAACUGACAUUCAGUAUCAUGUAAGGAAUUAUAAUGGCUUCGAUUCUUCUGUACUUUUCCUUUAAAGUUUAGUGUUGUAGUACUAAGUUUUAUGGAUGUCACAUUGAGUCAUGUGACCAUCGUAUUCUCUCACAGCUCACAACGACGAAAUCGCGCAGGGCUUCGUUGAUUUCUGUCAACUCUGACCUCGACCAGCAUCGGGUAACCUAUUGACCACCCCCUCUCCAUCUUCUUUUUCUUCUUCCGCUUCUCCCUGUGCAUUCCAGUUUGACUGUCUAUGAUCGAAAAGGUCAGUCCAUCUAAAUUCAGCAAUUGACUCUCAAACUCUGAAUCUGAUUUCAUCUCCUUCUGCUGUUCUCCUCCAUUCCCCUCGUCUCUCUCUUUCUUCUGUAAAUUUAAUCAACUAAUUCAAUUAUUCAUUUUUUUUAUAGAACAUCUGUUGCUCCACGAAAGAUUGGGUUUUUGCUUGAUCAUUGUCAAACGCUGUAGCAACUGUAAGUUUGUCAAAAUUUAUAAUCAUGGUUAUUUGUUGCUGGAAUUUUGAUCGUAGUGGUCCAGAUUUACUUGCUCAUGAUCUUUUUAUUGCUUUACUGUGAAAAGAUGGGAUAAUUUACUGCAAAAUAUGCUUAAUUUAAUGGAGAUUUGCUAGGUUUUUAAUACAGUUAUGUUAAUUGAAUAAUGGAUAUUGGAGAUUUUCUCUAAAGGAUUAUAAUUUAUAUAGAAUUUAUAAAUUUUAUCUCUUUCGGGUUACUUUAUGUUUCGAAUUAGUUGGAUUUAGCAUUCUUCUCAAGUUUUGAUAAUUGUUUAGUUUCUGAGUUUUGUUCCUUGCAUGGUUGAUUUUCUUUGAUAAUUGUUGAAUUCUAUAUUUGCUUGGUACUUAGGAUCUAAAGCAUUUUGCCUUUUGAAAAGCAGCAGGGAAAGUAUGAGGUACCCUUUUCUUCUUUGUGUUUUUUUUUUUUAAUUUUAAAUUUCUAAUUUUUAUGCAAGACAUGAAAUAUUGUGGGAAUCAAAUGUAUGAUUGUCACCAAAUAUAUAUAUCUUUUGUGGAAUAUUAUUGGUGAACAUCGCUUGUUGGUGAUGGAUGUACAUAUCAAACGAGUGAGAAAAAAGAACAAGACUUGGAAGUGCCCAAGGACUAGAUGGUGGAAUCUAAAAGAACAAAAACAAGCCAUUUUCAAAGAGAAAGUAAUCACCCAGUGUGGGAUAGAGAGGGGGAAGCUAACCAAAUGUGGGAUUCCAUGGCUAGUUGUAUCCGAAAAGUAGCAAAAGAGGUAUUAGGAGAGUCCAAGGGCUUUGCCCCACACCAAAAGGAAUCUUGGUGGUGGAAUGAGGAGGUACAAACAAAGGUGAAGGCUAAGAAGGAAUGUUGUAAAGCCUUAUACAAGGAUAUGACCGAUGAAAAUGGUGAAAGGUAUAGAAAAGCGAAGCAAGAGGCGAAGAAAGCUGUGAGAGAAGCUAAGUUAGCGGCUUAUGACGAUAUGUAUAAGCGACUAGAUACCAAAGAAGGAGAGUUGGAUAUCUAUAAACUAGUUAGAGCAAGGGAAAAGAAGACAAGGGACCUAAACUAAGUGAGGUGCAUCAAGGAUGAGGAUGGAAAGGUUCUUGCUACAGAGAACGCGGUAAAAGACAGAUGGAAAGGUUAUUUUCAUAAUCUUUUCAAUGAAGGACAUGAAAUGAGUGCUUCUUUAGGGGAGUUGAGUAACUCAGAAGAGUGUAGAAACUACUCCUUUUAUCAUAGAAUCCGAAAGGAAGAAGUGGUUGUAGCUUUGAAGAAGAUGAAGCAUAGAAAAGCAGUAGGCCCAGACGAUAUACCAAUCGAAGUGUGGAAAGUUUUGGGAGAGACAGGUAUAACAUGGCUCACUGACCUUUUCAAUAGGAUUUUGAAAACGAAGAAGAUGCCAAAUGAGUGGCGAACGAGCACUUUGGUGCCUAUCUACAAGAAUAAGGGCGAUGUACAAAAUUGCAUGAACUAUAGGGGUAUUAAGCUAAUGAGUCAUACAAUGAAGCUCUGGGAGAGAGUCAUUGAGCAUAGAGAUAGAUUAAGGCAAGAGACACGGGUUUCGGACAACCAAUUCGGGUUCAUGCCAGGGCGCUCAACCAUGGAGGCAAUCUAUCUCUUACGAAGAUUGAUGGAAAGAUAUAGAGAUGGGAAAAAGGAUUUAUAUUUACACAUGGUCUUUAUAGAUUUGGAAAAAGCGUAUGAUAGGGUCCCAAGAGAGACAUUCUUUGGAGGAUUUUAGAGAAGAAAGGAGUACGAGUAGCAUAUAUCCAAGCUAUACAGGAUAUGUAUGAAGGAGCAAAGACUGCCGUAAGAACUCAUGAAGGACAAACCGAAAGCUUCCCCAUAACUGUAGGAUUACAUCAAGGCUCAUCCUUAAGUCCUUACCUUUUUGCGUUGGUAAUGGAUGAGUUAACAGGACAUAUUCAAGAUGAUAUUCCUUGGUGUAUGCUUUUCGCAGACGAUAUAGUGUUGAUAGAUGAAACUCAGGAAGGGGUAAAUGCAAAGCUUAACCUUUGGAGAGAAGUGUUGGAAUCUAAAGGUCUUCGCCUAAGCUGAUCAAAGACAGAAUAUAUGGAGUGCAAGUUCAGUGCAAAUGGAGGCCAAAACGAGUUAGGGGUGAGGAUCGGAGAUCAAGAAAUACCAAAGAGCGACCGUUUUCGUUACCUAGGAUCUAUCUUGCAAAAGAACGGAGAAUUAGAUGGAGAUCUCAACCAUAGAAUACAAGCUGGAUGGAUGAAGUGGCAGAGUGCAUCCGGCGUGUUGUGUGACCGCCGUAUACCACUGAAGCUCAAGGGAAAAUUUUAUAGGACGGCAAUAAGGCCGGCGAUGCUGUAUGGCACAGAAUGUUGGGCGGUGAAGCAUCAACACGUACAUAAAAUGGGUGUAGCGGAGAUGAGGAUGCUUCGUUGGAUGUGUGGGCACACGAGAAAGGAUAAGAUUAGGAAUGAGGAUAUCCGGGGUAAAGUAGGAGUAGCCGAAAUUGAAGGAAAGAUGAGAGAAAAUCGGUUACGGUGGUUUGGACAUGUGCAAAGAAGGCCUACUGACGCUCCGAUUAGAAGAUGCGACUAUGGGACAGAGGUUCAGGGCCGAACGGGUAGAGGAAGACCUAGGAAAACUUUGGAAGAGACCCUAAGAAAAGACUUAGAGUACUUGGAUCUAACGGAGGACAUGACACAUGACAGAACACAAUGGCGUUCUAAGAUUCAUAUAGCCGAUCCCACUCAGUGACUUGGAUUUUCCAAGUAUCCAACCGAGAAGUUUUCCUCACUCGGGAAAUUAAGGGAACACUACCUCAACUUACAUGCUCCACUCACAAAGCUUCAACAUACAAGCUUCAACAAAAGAAAAUUCAAAGAACCUAGCGAAGAAGGCUUUGGUGUAUUUAACACAAUACGUUGAAAUGAAGGAAAGCUUAUUUAUUGAUAUCCCCGAUAAGUUACAAAUAUGUACAUAUACUUGAGUCAAAAUAAACAAACAAGAGGGAGCCUUUACAAAGGUUGCUUAGGAGAAGUCUCAGCAGUCGGUAGAGCCCCAGAAAGAGAAGGCAUCGGAGGGGGAUCAUUCGGAGCCUCAGUACUGGACAGAACCCUAGAAGGAGGAGGCAUCAGAGGUUGAUCAUUUGGAGCUUCAUUACGCGGUACAGCCCCAGAAGACGAAGGCAAUAAAUGCCUUUGGAACAAACCCACAAAUCUCUGAUGAUCAAGUAAAACCUGACCAUCAGAUUCCUUCAUCUGGUCAAGCUUCCUCUUCAUGUUUGUAGCAUAGUCAUGUGCGAGCCGGUGCAACUGUUUAUUCUCAUGCUUGAGCCCUCUAAUCUCCUGUUUGAGACUCAUCACUUCAGCCGCCAAUGAUUCAACUUGGCUAGUUCGAGCAAAUAGGCGUUGGGCCAUAUUAGACAUAGAACCUGCACACUGAACACUAAGAGCCAGAGAAUCCUUAACAGCCAACUCAUCAGACCGUUUGGAAAGUAGUCUGCUAUCUUUGGGAGUGAGAAGGUUCCUGGCCACUACCGCAGCGGUCAUAUCAUUCUUCAUCACGGAAUCCCCAACGGUAAGAGGACCAGUAGGGGAGACGAAGGAUGGGCGCCAUAUGUUGUCUGGAGAAGGCGGGGCUGCCUCUUCAACAAGGUUCAAGUCAAAACGACGGUCGGAGGGGCCAGACAUUUUCAAAGGUGUUGAAGAGAGAAGAGGUCGGACAAAUCAAGAUCUUAGAAGUGCAAGAAUGGAGCUUCUACUGGUGGAUAUUCAAGUGUGCUUUGGAACUUAAUGUCUGCCCCUAUAAAAAUCUGCACUCGAUGAAGCUUCAGAAAUCGAAGAGGCGCCUGCUCAGAAAUCGAAGAGGCGUUUGCUUUCUCAAAAGCUGGGUUGCUCAGAGACCACGAGGGUCGAUCUCAGAAAUCGAAGAGGCGUUUGCUUUCUCAAAAGCUGGGCUGCUCAAAGACCACGAAGGCCGAUCUCAGAAAUCGAAGAGGCUUGCUUUCUCAAAAGCUGGGCUGCUCAGAGACCACGAGGGCCGAUCUCAGAAAUCGAAGAGGCACCUACUUUUCCAGCCCUGUCAGCACCUGUCACACGCACACUCAGCUUUGUGGAAAUUAUGGGCAUUCUGUCGAAGAUUUCUGGCGAAGUAGAAAGCACAUGAAUCGUACUGUUCAAUCACCCACUUCCUACACGCAACAGUAGCUCAUGGGUACCACAUAUAACUUUGCCAAAGUUCUCUGACAAAGUUGAGACACGUGAAGCUUGCAGCUCCCACUACAUCGCUCUGACCAAGAAGGGUAAAAGAUUAGCAAAGAAACAACACUAACAAAGUUUAGACACAUAAAUUUUGAAGGUCUAGCUACCAUAUUAUUACCCACAAGGGUAAAGGAACAGUACCACUGCUGGAUAAUUGGAAAGUCCCGGUGUGUCAACCUCUGUGCUUCGUGGCAAGGUAGACUAGCAAACAUGCCCAACCUUUACUCACAUUCGAGAAACACUCCCAACAAGAUUGCUUGCUCCAAAAUCGAAGAGAGGCACCGCCAUCCGAAUCUCGAGAGCCAGACUCCCAACAUGAUUACUUUCUCAAAAAUCGAAGAGAGGGUAAAGGAACAGUACCACGACUGGAUAAUUGGAAAGUCCCUGUGUGUCAACCUCUGUGCUUUGUGGCAAGGUAGACUAGCAAACAUGCCCAACCUUUACUCACAUUCGAGAAAACACUCCCAACAAGAUUGCUUGCUCCAAAAUCGAAGAGGCACCGCCCUCCGAAUCUCGAGAGCCAGACUCCUAACAUGAUUACUUUCUCAAAAAUCGAAGAGAGGGUAAAGGAACAGAUCUGUAUGUCAACCUCUCUGCUUCGUGGCAAGGUAGAAUAGCAAACAUGCCCAACCUUUACUCACAUUCGAGAAAACACUCCCAACAAGAUUGUUUGCUCCAAAAUCGAAGAGGCACCGCCCUCCGAAUCUCGAGAGCCAGACUCCCAACAUGAUUACUUUCUCAAAAAUCGAAGACACCGCUCUCCGAAUCUCGAGAGCCAGACCCUCAGUGGGAUUGCUUUCUCAAAAAUCGAAGAGGCAUCGUUCUCCGAAUCUCGAGAGCCAGACCCCUAGUAGGAUUGCUCUCUCAAAAAUCGAAGAGGCAUCACCGCCCUCCGAAUCUCGAGAGCCAGACUCCCAACAUGAUUACUUUCUCAAAAAUCGAAGACACCGCUCUCCGAAUCUCAAGAGCCACACCCCCAGUAGGAUUGCUUUCUCAAAAAUCGAAGAGGCAUCGUUCUCCGAAUCUCGAGAGCCAGAUCCCCGACAGGAUUGCUUGUUCGAAAACCGAAGAGGCACCACUUUCCCAACUUCAAGAGCUGGAUCUCCUUGGAUAAAGCUUGUCUGUAAUCUUCACACGCAACAUCAGCUUUCCAGAUACCACAGACCACUUUUUCAAAGUGCUCUGACAAAGUUAAAACUUGUGAAGCUGGCAGCUCCCACUACCGUGCUAUGACCAAGCAGGGUAAAGGAAUAACAUUAUUACUUGAUGUUAGGGAGACUCCUAUAUAUGUCGACCUCCAUCCCCAACGGACAGGCAGACCUGCAAAAAUGCUUAACCCUUCCUCUUAUCUGAGAGGGCACUCCCAACGAAGCCUUUCGAAAUAUUCAGCUUUCUUUCCCCCCGAUAAUACCUCUGUAAACAAGCUAUACUAGAGCAAGAAUAUCUCAUAUCAUCAGGGUUAAAAGCAAGAGUAUCCCAUAUCAUGCUUUUUCCCUGUUUUUUCCUUUGGCCUUGUUCUUACCUGCAAGACAAGGAGAAAGAGAGUAAUCAGUCAGCACUUGGAAUCAAGCUUCCAGCCAGGAACUGACUGCCUGGAACCCUUUACCUGAUUACUUACCUGGCAUUGCUCUCGAGUACUCAUCUUCAACACCUUAUGCUUCCAGGGAAGAUCCCGCAUCUGCCUGAGGAACAUAUAGGGCAAGUGAGAAGGAUACAAGGAAGCAUGUGGAGACAAGCGUAACAGCACCGAUACAUCCAUUACUCUGUCAAAAGCAAAAGUAUCCCAUAUCAGCAGGGUCGAACGUACUCUAGAUUUGAUGGACUUGUUUUGACCCUCAAAUUCUUCAGUCGGCCUUAUCUCUGGAGGAAACCAGAAAACCCUCCAGCCCAGUUCAAGAAUAAGCCUGUGGAAAGUUACUUCUUCAAAAGCAAAAGUAUCCCAUAUCAUCUCUUCUCAUUUUUCUUCUCUUUAUCCUCCAUGCUACCUGGAAGAUAGGGAGAAUGUGAACAAUCAGCCGGAGCUCUGAUUGCUUACCUUGUCUGUCACCUCUUUCAGCAGAUCCCCUAGCUCGGCGACUUGGGGGACUCCUACUACAUGGUUUGUAUCGCGCUUGACCAAGCCUGAAACUACAAGUAAGCUUCAAGUGACAUUGAUACAUUACCUUGUGCAUCUCCACCAGUUACAGAUACCACCCCUGGAUGGAGGAAGAGUACUUCCAGAGAAGAUGCCACAUCUACCUAUGAGACAGAUAAGGAAAGCCAAGACAAUACCACACUCCAGUACUUAGAAGUUUCGUGGUUACUAUAUCAUUCACUUGUACUCACUAAAGGAGAGCUUGAACCUAUGUACUUGUGUAAACCCUUCACAAUUAAUGAGAACUCCUCUAUUCCGUGGACGUAGCCAAUCUGGGUGAACCACGUACAUCUUGUGUUUGCUUUCCUAUCUCUAUCCAUUUAUAUACUUAUCCACACUAAUGACCGGAGCAAUCUAGCGAAGAUCACAAAAAGUGACCGUUUUCGCUACCUAGGAUCUAUCUUGCAAGAGAACGGAGAAUUAGAUGGAGAUCUCAACCAUAGAAUACAAGCUGGAUGGAUGAAGUGUAAGAGUGCAUCCGGCGUGUUGUGUGACCGUCGUAGGCCACUGAAGCUCAAGGGAAAAUUUUAUAGGACGGCAAUAAGGCCAGUGAUGUUGUAUGGCACAAAAUGUUGGGCGGUGAAGCAUCAACACGUACACAAAAUGGGUGUAGCGGAGAUGAGGAUGCUUCGUGGGAUGUAUGGGCACACGAGAAAGGAUAAGAUAAGAUUGGGAAUGAGGAUAUCCGAGGUUUGGACAUGUGCAAAGAAGGCCUAUUGACGCUCCGGUUCGAAAAUGUGACUACGGGACAGAGGUUCAAGGCCGAAGGGGUAGAGGAAGACCUUGGAAAACUUUGGAAGAGACCCUAAGAAAAGACUUGAUUUUGGAUCUAACGGAGGACAUGACACAAAACCGAGCGCAAUGGCGUUCUAGGAUUCAUAUAGCCGACCUCACUUAGUGGGAAAAGGCUUUGUUGUUGUUGUUGUUGUUCCUUAUCUGCUAUGUUGUAUGUGAAAUUCUGAAAUGAUGGCAUUUGUUAAUCUGUGUUUUGGGUUGUGAUUUCCAUAUUUUACUUCCAAGUUCUGCGUCAUUUAUCUGACCUGAAAAAAAUAUUCGGUCCUACUCCUAGGCUAAACAUUUGUUGGUUUUAUUUUUAUUCCUUAUAGAAAUUCAAACAUCAUCCUGCAAUCAAAACACCGCUGGAAGGUGGGACUGUUCCCUAUAAGUAUGCUGUCAGCACUGAAUGAAAUGUUUAUUGAAGAGUUAAGGUAUGAGGCUUUAAGAACAGGGUUUCUCAUAGCUCGAGUUCUCAUUGUUGUCAAUCAUAGUGAUUUCAUGUAAGAUGUAGUUCAAGCACACUACAAGCAGAAGUAGACAAUCUGUUGCUUAUUGAACUACCCUUGUUAUCAGUUUUGACUCAAAAAAAUAUUUGAUGAUGACAUGCUGAAUUGAAUAUUGGCUAAAAUUAUAUUGAAAUUUGCAGGCCGAAGCAGAUAUCGUUAAAAGAGCUCUAAGUCACCCUCUGAAAUUAAUUGCCAAAAGUGUAAAUGGAAGCAUUGUCAGUGAGAAGGCAUUUUUUUUUUCGUUUCACUUUAUAUACUAUGCUCACUAUCUGUUUAAUAUGUUUCAUCGUAUAAAUUAAAGUCUCAUUUCUCAGGUGCUUUCAAGUGACAACCCCAAUUAUGGAUGCAUGUUGCCACUGGAAACUAUGAAAAUUUAAUAGUUGCUGGGAUCACUGAUCCAACUAAAGUGGGUUUCUUUAUCAAGUACUUCAUGAAUAGAAUAUUUCAGAGAUCCAAUCGCUGGGACAGAUUGAAGAAGGUGAAGAUCACAGGGGUGGGAUACUGGGGAGGGUGGUAGGGUUAUGGGGAGUGGGCUCUGGUUGGUUUCGAUUUGACCGAGGCCUUGGUUCGAUGGAACCGAGGUGAUGGGGACUAUUCAUGAUAUCACAGCCAGAAGAUAUAGGGCCUAUGCGUGGGGUUUAGGGGUUUCACGGGGAGGGUUACAGAGGGAGGGGGUGCACGCGUGAAUUGCAGAGGGAGAGGGAGAGAGGGAGAAAGAGGGGGAGUAGGGUUGCUAUAUUCAAGUUCUCUUUUUUAUUUUUACUUGAAUUUGAUUUGAUUUGAUUUAUUUGAUUUUUUUUUUUUUUUUGGUGACAGGUUGAGAAUGCCAAAGCUCUGCUGGAGGUGUAGGUGAGAAUUUUAAUUUAAUUCAUGGUAUAUUGUUGUUUUUUUUUUUUUACUUUAUUUUUGUGGGAUUGUGCUGUUUUUGGGGAAAUCAAUAUUAAAUUGAAGUAAAGUUUAGAUAUUUCUGUAAUUGGGAUUUAGAGUAAGAGAUGAAGAACUGAACGUGAUUGCAAAAUUAAAAGUUUAGAACUUUUUUGGUUUGGAAGCUAAUUUUAAAUUCAGUUAGCUGAUUAAUUAAUAGAGAAAUGUAUAAUGAAUGCGUGAUAUGUUUUUCGAUGCGUAUGAGCAGACAUGGGUACUGCUUCAGCGGCAGCAGCUGCUAUAUGAUGGUAGAUGAGGAAUUCUGAGAUGCUGAGUGCUCUUAGUGUCAGAGAUGAAGACUUGAUAAUGAUCGUAUCCAAUUCUGCCUCAAGGUAUACUUGAUAAUAUUGUCCUUUAUGUGCUGUAUGAUGUUCGUGCCUUUAAUGGGCCUGUCAAAAUAUUUCAGUGCACCCACAAAUUGGUUUUAUCAUCAUACAUCAUUCGUGAGAAAUGGGAUGGUGAGUUUCUCAAUACAGUUUUAAUUUUUGUGCAAAUAAUGUUCGUAAAAAGUCUGUUUUUAUUUAGUUCAUUGCAGAUUCUUAUUCUUUUAUUUAGUUCACCAUUCAUGCUUUUAAAGAUAAGAAGUGCAAGGCUCUCUCAAAUGUUAGUUUUGGGUGGCAAUUGAAAGAUAGGAGGAUAAACAAAAAUACCGACCAAUUGAAAGGAUAAAUUCAGUUGAAAUUAUUUGGUUCAUCAAUUAUUAUAGUUUGAGCUUUCUGCAUUAAAUAUCCUGUUUUCGGGGGAGAGUGAUUCAUAUAAUUGGGUUUUAUUAAAUUUUUCUUGAUUUUAUACAGUUUUUCGUUUAAACUUGUGGAUUUGGAAACACUUUUAUGAGUGUUAAAAUCUUAUUGUAUGUCUAAAAUUUGUUUGGAAUUUGGUGGAUUCUUCAAUUUCAUCACCACCCAUUCUCACAACUUCAUCUAAAGUGUUUCGCAUGUACAAGAUUCGUGUUCAUUGAGGUCAUUUCAAACAGAUUUCAAGCUGAGCUGCAGAAAUUUGAUUCAAAUUGGUGGAUUUGGGUAAGAAACUAAGAAACCAUAAUCUUUUCUUUCGGUUUUAAGAACUAAAUUUCAUGGUUAAGUUUAUGUUUCAAGAUUAUCUUCCUUUCUCCUAAAUGCUGAGUUUUAUGAGAUUACAUUUGGUAAGUCUGAAAACGAAUUAGAAAUACUGAGUUUUAUGAGAUCUAUUUGGCAAGUCUGAAAGCAGAUUGCGUAUGUUUAUAUCUUCCUUUCUCCUAAAUACUGAGUUUUAUGAGAUCACACCAUCUUAUGUUUAUUGUAUAAUCUUAUGCGGUCAGAAGAAUUAUCAUCUUUUUCCUUUCAGAUUUCAACAUACUUGGAAAUACUUCAAAUUUUUUGUAGUGCAGUUUUUAGUUAACAUGAUUACGUAAGUUCUGUUUCUUUAGUAAAUUUUUAUGCAGGAAAGAAAGUCAUUUCUCAGUUUGUAGUUAACAUGAUUACAUAAGUUCUGCUUAUCGACCUCAUUCACUUAUGUUUUCUUCUGUUCAUUCAUAAUUGUGUUAAGUUUAUUUAGGUUAAAUGUGUCUUAUUCAUGCAGUUACUCAUGAAACAGUUGUUCACGCCGCAACAUGCGGGCGUAUUUUCUAAUUGAUACUAUUAUUCAAGACUCAAAAGUUGGAUCUUAAUUCGUUGACCGGUAUGCAACUAUGAAUUUUUUUAGAUGCUAUAUCUACGAAUUUUUCUAGACGCUAGAAAAUAUUAAAGUCCCAAUUAAGACGUUAUGCUAGCAAAUAUAUAGACCGAGAGAAAGCAAGUUGUUUACAUACGUACAAAAUUAUCUCAGUCGUCCCGAUUAAGACUUUACUAGCAAAUAUAUAGACCGAGAGAAAACAAGUUAAAAUUACCUCAGUCGUCCUAAUUAAGACUUUACUAGCAAAUGUAUAGGCUGAGAGAAAGCAAGUUGUCUACAUCCAUAGAAAAGUAUGUCAAUCCCAAUUAAGACGUUGCCAUUGAAUAUAUUAAUUGAGAGAAAUUGAGUCGUUUACCUACAAGUACUUUAGUCGUCCCCAAUUAAGACGUUAGUAGCAAGUUGUUUACGUACAUACAAAAUUAUCUCACUCCCAAUUAAGACGUAAGAAAUUUGAUAAACAAAAACAAGUCAUCGGAAUAAUUAAGCCAAGGUGGUUGGAUGGUGGUGGGUUCAUACGUGGUAGUGUGACUUUCCGUCAUCCAAAACAUAGGAAUUGGAUUUCAUCAGUGCGGUUAGAAAUUAUUUGAUUUUUUCAUUUAAAAUUAAAUACAAAUAGUAUCUGACAAAAACUGAUCGUAUGGUAUACGAUGAACGGCUAAGAUGUAAGGAUAAAGUGGAUAUGGGGAAAAUCCCUUUCUCAAAACAUAUCCUCUUUUGACUUUUCUCGCUGCAUCAUUCAACUCAACUUGCAUAUAUUUUCAUCCCGAUCGAAUUUUCAGUUCAACCACAACUUUUGAAAAUUCCACCUGAGAUUUUUUAUUUUUUAUUUUUAAAAGAAAUCCCACCUUUGUUUUUCUUUGAAAAAAUCCACUUCCACUUAUCUAAAAUUCAUUUUAUCGUUGUAUUUAUACGUAAAAUUAUGAAUGAAAUAUUAUUCUUUACCAGACAAACUUACAAUAUACAUGUAAUUUUAGCAAUAUUUUAAGCUAAUCGUCAAAGUCUUGAGUUCGAUACUUUGUAACAAGGUCAUUGGUAGGUAGGGUUCAAUUUUCAACUAGUCUCUUCUGAAUCCAAAAAAGAUGGAUGAUCGUAGUUCGACACUAGUGUCCAUCUUUUUAGAAAGGAAAAAAAAACUUAUCGAAUAGUGUGUCAUGUUUCUUGUUAGACAUAAUAAUGUGAUUAGUUUAAGAAUUGUCACAAUGACAUCGUGGUUUGAUGUCAUAUCAAAAUCACCAACUAACAAAGAAUUAAUCCUUUGUUCUUUCGCUAUCGAGAAAAAUCCCUCUCCAUAAUUACAGUAAUUGACCAAUUGAGCAAGAAUGUUAAUCCAUAAGUCAAUCCCUUAAUUUUUAAACUAGAAAAAUAUUAACAAUCUAGAACUGUACAUAAAUAUUUUAACACUAAAGCAGCUCAAUGUGCAAUAUUACAGUAUACAAUUCAACUAAUAUGAUCAAAGUCUUGGCCAACUCCAGGUGGGAAAUUAAAAAAGUGGCCGCCAUUUGAUCAUGCAACUUGGACAAAAUAUAUUAUAGGAUAAAUUACAUAAAAUCACCUUAAUUAUCGGUCGAACCACAAUUUCAUACCUCAUGUUUUAAAUAUUUCAAUGUCAUACCUUAAUAUAUGAAUUCGUUGCAAUGUCUAAAUUUUCUUAAUUUAAUUGUUAAAUGAUGAAGUGGUAGGAGUGGGACCCACUCAUUAAAAAAAAAUUCUCUUCGUUUCCCAGAAAUCGUCUCCUCCCCCUACUCCCUCCUCCGUCCCCCUUCUUCGUUUCCCAGAAAAUCGUUUCUGGGUUUGUAUUUGUGUUUUUCGUUUUGGGUUUUGUUUUUGUGGGGUUCUUCGUUUUGACUUUCUGGAACUCUACCUUUGCAAUUUUGUUUGGUGGUUUUUCUUAGAAAAAUGGUGAAGAAGAAGAAAUUGAAGAAAUGGCAGUGGGGCGAAAGCCCCAGUCGGUGAUGGGAUAUGAAGAGAGGGAAAAUGAUAAGGGGAUGGUUUCUAAUUCUCAGUUUUGCGAAAUCUUAGUGAACUUAUGAUGAAGAAAUCAAAUUAGUUUUAUGUAAAGACUGUUGGAGCAAGAUGAAUUGGGUCUGGUUUUGGUUUGCAUCAAUUCCCACUUAUUUGGGGUCUGGUUUUGGUUUGCCAUCGAAACCCACCUGCGUUUUGCGAUUGGCGGUGUAUCAGUUGUUCCCGAAGGAGGACGAAAAUUAGCUGCGUUUAAGGAGGACGAGGAAGAAGGGGAGCGGAGGAAGGAGUGAUUGGAGGAGGAACGGGGACGAUUUCCAGGGAACAAGGAGGAGAGGUUUUUUUAAAAAUUUUUAAAGUUAAUAUUAAUUGUCAAAUAAAAAUAAAAAAUAUAUUAAUUUUUUAUUCGAGUUGGCAAAAAAGUGGGUCUCAUUUCUGCCACGUCAUCAUUUAACAGUCAGAUUAACAAAAAAUUUAAUGGUGGUCUGACAUUGCAACGACUUCAUAAGUUGAGUUAUGACAUUGCAAUAUUUAUAUACAUAUACGUUGUCAAUAUAUGACUAAAAUCUAAUGGUCUUCUUCUUCUUACAUGCAAUGCAUGAUUCAGCCAGUCGGAAUAUAAGUGUUGGUCGUUUAAGUUCACGCCGUCGAGGAGAGCAAGUUCUGCACAUGUACAAUAUGAAGAUGAAGUUGCUGAUGAGGAUACUAUUACUCUGCUUCCUCAGCUGCUUCUGGUUUCAGCUGUCCUUUGCUCAAAAUGCUACCACUGAUCCAUCUGAAGGUUCUCUCUCUCUCUCUCUCUCUCUCUCCCCCCCCUAUCCCUAGACACACACACUUUGCCACAUUUAAAUGUUUUUGACCAGGAACUGGGCUUUUUUCCCUCAACAAAAUGACAUUUUAAGUGUUUUUCGACUAUAUGAAAUGAAGUUUCGAGGAACUUAUUUGUAUAGUCUUUUUUCUUUCCAUAUACAAAACAUCCAAAUUAAGGGUAAUUUUCCUUUGUAAUAAUCAAUUUGAUCUCUCAUUUGAUUCGAGAUAGUCUAGUAAGGGGUAACACAAGUCAAAUUAUGGUGUGAUAUAUAAUACACACAAGGACUGAAUUAACUGAGAGUGCAGUGAGGGCGUUGAACUCAAUAUUUGAACAAUGGGACACACAAGUGCAGUGGAAGAUCAGUGGAGAACCCUGCAGUGGACCUGCCAUCAACGACAACAACCCAGCCAUCGCUUGCGACUGUACUUACGACAACAAUGCUACAUGCCACAUCACUAAACUGUAUGUUAAACUACUCUCUUUAUGAACAAGAUUUCUAUGCCAAUGCUGAUUUUUCACUUGCUACCUAUGCAUGUUAACGUCAUAAUUUGACUGUGUCGCUCCAUUUUAUGUAGUUCUAAAUGUUCAAUCUUUUUGCUUUCCAGGAGCAUGUAUGCUCUUAACAAACGAGGGGUGUUUCCAGAAGAAUUUGUGGCUUUGAGAUAUCUCACAGAUUUGUAUGAAUUUUUUCCAACUCCCUUCUCUGUUUUUGGUUCAUCAAAAUCAUAUAUUGGAUAUUAAAAAUGUAAAACGAAUGAAAAUGGUUUGAAAACUUUGAGUUUUAACGAAAAUGACAAAAUAAAGGGUAAAUUGUAUAGUAUCAUGAUUGACUUUUUAGUGUUAAAAUGUGGUUUUUCGUUAAAGUAAACAGUACCGGGAGCUUUUUGUUAAAGUUCCCUAAUAAAAAUUGUAGAAUUAUCAGAGAGACGGGCCAAAAACUCACUUCCAAGAACAUAGAUACUGACCCAACUUGGUAAUUACCACCUGCACAAUCCGUCAGGUGUGGGUUUAUCUCAAAAAGCCUCGGCAUUAGUUGGAGUGAGAUUUGGAUAUUUAAACUCUUCUUUCUUCAUUUCUCUAGCCGAUGUGGUAUUUCAACAAAAAUAUGGUGAUGUUGUACGAUUAAGAGUUAACGAUUACACUUCCUUUCAAUUUUUGUAGAAGGAUCGAUCGGAAUUAUUUCACCGGUCACCUACCCGCAUUCAUUGGCAAUAUGUCUGCAUUGACUACAUUGUAAGUUGUGAGAGAACAUUUCUUUUAAGUACUCAUACUUUUGAUGAGACCCGUAGCAAUUUGUAUACUUCAUUUUGAAUAUCAUAAUCUACAGUUAUGUACUUUACACCUUUUCGCUACUAUUUAUGCCGUAAUCUACAAAAAAUCGUUAUGCUUUUAUUGAAUAAUGCAGAACUAGUUUCCUGUUAUGUAAUGUAAUUAAGUUUAAUGGUGCUUAUCUUUCACUAACUGACAUCUCUAUUCAGGACAAUUGGCGUCAAUUCAUUCUCUGGGCCCAUCCCCAAGGAGCUUGGAAACCUUAAGAAGCUAGUCCUGCUGUAAGCCAUAAAAAAUGAGAAAGCGUACAGUAAAAUUUUGUGUCAUAAACAUUAGAUACAGAACCUUUCAAUAAUUGCUUUCAAGUAAUUGUUUGCCUGUUCAACAUGACUUGCAGGGCGUUCGGAUCAAAUAAUUUCUCCGGAACACUCCCACCAGAACUUGGUAAUUUAGUCAAGCUUGAGAAACUGUAAGUGGUUAGUUAAAUCAUCAAAUUUGAAUUGCAUGUUAAUUCCUUACGGAUGAGCAAAAAUUGCACUUUAUCGUAUGAAAUGGGUAUUAAUCAGUUGCCUUAUGAUUUUCACAGUUACAUGGACGGCUGUGGACUCGGUGGUGAAAUUCCUUCAACAUUUGCCAAGCUCACCAACAUGCAAACCCUGUAAGAACGGCUCUUAAAUCGUAUUUUAGAUUUGUUAGUUUAUCCAGUACUUUGAGAUUGCUUUUCUUGGAUGAGCUUAGUAUAUGUCAACUUUUUGAAUUUUAGCUGGGCAUCGGACAGUCCUUUCUCAGGAAAGAUACCUGAUUUUAUAGGGAAUUGGACACAACUCUAUGAUUUGUAAGUAGAGAAACCUUUGAUCUUUUGCAGUUUAUGAAAGCAGACCUGAGAUGGAUAAUUUGUUCACAAGCUUCUUAUAUGUUUCUAUAGGUGAUUUCAAGGGAACUCUUUCGAAGGCCCAAUACCAACCAGCUUUUCUCGACUGACCUCAUUGAACACUCUGUAAGUACAAAUGUUUCAUAAAUUGUAAUUCUCUCCGAAGAGGGGAUUUCAGUUUAUUUUGCAUAUAAUGAUGUAGGCGAAUCAGUGAUAUAUACAAUGGGAGCUCCUCUCUUGAUUUCAUAAAAAAUCUGACAAGCUUGACUCAUUUGUAUCAUUUGUAAGUGAAGAUUCUCAUCGAUCCAGAUACUGUCAUCUAAUUUCUUUUGUAAGUGAAGAUUCUCAUCGAUCCAGAUACUGUCAUCUAACUUCUUUUUCCUUUUGAAAUUUGAUCUACUUUUUAUCAAAUUUUAUGUUUUUGGAAUACAGAUAUCUACGAAACGCAUUAAUCACUGAUACCAUCCCAUCUGAUAUUGGAGAUCUAUAUCUAGGCACUAUACGUACCAGCAAAUACAAGCUUGAGUCCCAGCGAGACCAAUUAGUUUUCUUUCAUUCUGAUUGCUCCUCUCAACUUAUCGUUGGUGUUGUAGGGAUCUGAGUUUCAACAAUUUGACAGGCCAACUCCCAAGUUCUUUGUUCACCAUGAGUUCUCUUACAUCCUUGUAAUCCCCGUCCUUAUUAUUAUCUUUUUCUUGCCUUAUCAUACAUAAGUUAUCAAAUCUUUAACAUUCCCUACUUUGAUUGAAGAAUAUCUCGACUAAUCCUUCUAGAUUUUGUGUAGAUCUGACCUUUUUCUUGCUCAUCUCUUUUUCUUUUCUGGGUGCCUUCUACUAUAAUCGAAAUGGCCAGGAUUCUUGGAAACAAUAGUCUCUCCGGACCUCUUCCGAGCCAAAAGAGCUUUCAACUUCAGACUAUGUAAGUCCUCGUUUCUUAAAGUAGUCAUAUAGAAUGCACGGUGCAUGUAUGUGUUUGUGUAUAUUCGUAAGCAUUCUAAUCCUAUCUUACACAAGUUCUUGAUAACUUUCAUGCAUUUUGUGUCUUUUGAUUCUAUUUUGUUAUUUGCAGAGAUUAGUCUUACAAUUUUUUAUCAGGAAGCUUUCCCCAGUGGGUGACCACAAUGUCACAAAUGUACGUGUCCUUUUAUCUUUCACCUUCAUUUUACAGUUUAAAUCACCAGAAUACGUUUGGACAAAAAAUUGCCGCUGAGAUUUGUUUUCACAGUUCUACUUGCCUACAAAGUUUUGAUCUUGUACAUGGAAUUUUCAUUUGAUAAAGAUAUAGUUCUUCAUAUGUUGAUUGAUUAAUGAUUUUAUGCAGGAACUUAGUGGUCAACAACUUCACAUUUGACAGUUCAAACAUAACGUGAGUUGAAGUUUCUCUUACUCGUUUUAGACGAGCAAUACUAUCACAACUCUUCCACUAUAUGUUUCUAUCGGGAUAACUAAUAAUUGUUCUCUGUGUUUGCAGUCUUCCUGGAUUGAAUUGCCUCCAGAGAAAUUUUCCAUGCAAUCGAAAUGCUCCACGAUGUAAUCUGCUCUUAUGUCACCCAUCAUUUACUAUUUUAAUGCAACGUCAUGUCAGAGGAAAAGGCAUUGCUUCUCUAGUUAUGUAUACAUAUGGAUAUAGAUUGCAAGCAUGUUUUCAUAAGUUCAGUAAUACGCAUAACUGGUCAGAAAUAUGUGACUGAUGAACAUUAGCAUGAGUCUUCAAUUUGACGUUUCAUCGCUAAUCAUGGCUGGCUUCUGGUAUUACAUGAAACUUUACAGAUGCAAACUUCUCAAUCAAUUGUGGUGGAAAACAAAUGACGGGAAGUGAUGGCAUAUUGUAUGAGACUGAAGACUCAGCUCUUGGCCCAGCAACAUUCAAUGUAACCAGUACAGAGAAAUUGGCUGUCAGCAAUGCCGGUUUGUUUUCUGAGAGAAAGGACCCAUUUUCUGGUAAACACCCUUGCACAAGUCACUAGAACAGAUGUGACCCCGGAGCUUUUCCAGACUUCAAGAGUGUCCCCAGGAUCACUGAGAUACUAUGGCAUGGGCCUUGAGAAUGGGCCUUACACUGUAACAUUGCACUUUGCAGAGACGGUUUAUGAAAGUCGCACUUCUCAAAAAUGGGAAAGUCUAGGACGGCGUGUAUUUGAUAUCUAUAUUCCGGUAAGACUACUUAUAGAAUAAAAAUCUAACUUAUUUGAAGUAAACACCUCAUUGGACAGGUUUUCGAUGUUUUAAGCUACCUCUUCAUUUAAAGGAGACUAGAAUUAUCACCUACCUCUUCAUUUGGUUGCUAGGGUACCCGAAGGACGAAGGACUUUGACAUAUCCAAGGAGGCAGGUGGGGCUAAACUAGGAAUUAUGAAAAGAUUCAAUGUUAGCGUGUCAGAGAAUUAUCUUGAAAUUCAUCUAUUCUGGGCUGGUAAAGGGAGUUGUUGCACACCUUCGGCAGGUGAUUACGGCCCACUAAUAGCAGCCGUCCAUGCUGCUUCAGGUAUAAUUUGUGUUAACUAAUAGAGAUUUCCUGUGAAUGGUUUAAAUGUAUUUUUCUGCUGUUAAUUGACACUGAAGAAUUCGUCUGUUUUAUUGCUCAGAUUUUACACUAACAGUUUCUGGGCUUCCACCAACUACUCCAGGAAAGAAGAGCAGGAAUGGGUUGAUAGUUGGAAUUGCAGUUCUUGUUGGAGUUGUGAGCUUACUAUUAAUAUUUGCGAUUCUAUAUACGAGGGGGGGGGGAAAUCAGAAAAAAGGACGACGAAGGUAAAUGACCAUAUUAUUAGUGGUAUUCAAUUCAAGUUUCUCUACUCUGACAUUAACACACACAAGAAUGCUUUCAUGAAAGUAAAACUUAUGUCACACUGUUUCGUGAAUGUGCAGAUAUUUUAGGAUUAGGCCCUCAACCAAAUAUUUUCAGUUAUGCUGAGUUGAGAGCUGCAACCGAAGAUUUUAAUCCUUCAAAUAAGUCAGGAGAGGGAGGAUAUGGCCCUGUUUAUGAGGUGAAAUCCGUAUUACAUCAAUAUCAUGUACUUGGAAGUAAUGACAAGAGAAAUGGGGAGAGCGAGUGAGCAAGAGAAGAAAAUAAAGCUUUUUUUUUCUUUCCUUUCAUGUCACUAAAUUGUGUUUCUGUGUACAUUGUAGGGUACACUUUCUGAUGGGAGAGUAGUGGUUGUGAAGCAACUUUCAGUAGCAUCUCACCAAGGGUAGAGUCAAUUUGUAUCUGAAAUUGCUACCAUAUCUGCUGUGCAACAUCGGAAUCUAGUGAAAUUGUAUGGAUGCUGCAUCGAAGGCAGCCACCGCAUUUUGGUUUAUGAGUAUCUUGAAAACAAGAGCCUGGAUCAGGCACUUUUUGGUACAAACCUAUCUACUUUUAGGUUGCAUAGAAACAACAAUGUCUGCAGUUUCAAGCACUCUAAAAUUGUUAAGAAAUGUUUUUGAUUGGAUAUGUUCACUAAUAUUUCAGGAACAAGUAACUUGCACCUUGACUGGCCUACUCGAUUCAAUAUAUUGUUGGGAACAGCAAGAGGACUUGCUUACAUUCAUGAGGAGUCAAGGCCAAGGAUUGUACAUCGAGAUGUCAAAGCGAGUAAUAUUUUGCUCGAUGCAAAACUCUCCCCAAAAAUAUCAGAUUUUGGACUGGCAAAGCUUUAUGAUGACGAAAAAACCCACAUCAGCACCCGGGUUGCAGGGACAAUGUAAGCCAUCCUUUAUUGUUUUUCCAGAGGUUACAUACAUUAUGGCCACACACAUUUAUACUUGCAUGAAAUUUUAACACACAUGUUAAUAAUGCCUCUAAUGAUCUCAAGCAACAAUGCCUCUAAUGAUCUCAAGCAACAUUGUGCAACCAUUUGAUUAUCUUGCAUUGUAGAGGCUAUUUGGCACCGGAGUAUGCAUUGUUUGGACAUUUGACAGAGAAGGCUAAUGUGUUUGGUUUUGGAGUCGUCGUUUUGGAGAUCCUCAGCGGGAGACCAAAUUCUUACAAUAACUUGGAUCCAGAAAAGAUUUAUCUUCUUGAAUGGGUAGGAAUUGCGUUCGCCUAGCUUCAUUUAGGCAUUGUUGUGAAAAACUUAUUUAUACGUACCUUUGACCGUGGCAUAAUGUUUUUCAGGUGGGACUCUACAUGAAAACGACCAAACUCUAGGGCUGGUGGAUCUGAGAUUGACAAAGUUUAAAGAAACUGAAGCAACUAGAUUGAUAAGAGCAGCUCUUUUGUGCACACAGGGAUCACCGAUGGCAAGGCCAUCUAUGUCACGCGUGGUUGCAAUGCUCUCUGGAGACAUUGACAUAGGCACUGUUAUGUCGAAGCCAAGCUAUUUGACAGAUUAUAAUUUUAUAGAUGUAACAACAUUUUCAACAGGUUGAUUUUUGGUGGAGGAUGAUACCCCAUCAACUGCGUCCAAGCAUAGUAAUGUUCGCCUCAACUAUCAGCCUGAAGGCAACAAUGCAAGUGGUGCUAACACCCCUGGGGUUAAGCCUGUGCCUAGCACACCCCUGGGGUUAAGCCUGCGCCUUCUCCAGUAAACGUCACUCAAUCACUGCUCGUUGGCAUUGUAGGAGAAGGAAGGUGAUAAAUAAUGGGAAAUGAUUUCCGAAUGCCUUUUAUCCUUUUGUGCACCCAUGUGCUUGUCCUUGGGUCUUUUCUGCCCUUAAGGUUUUGGCUAUGACGAUGUAUAUCUAAAAUAAGAUACAAUUUUAUAGAUAUUUGAGUCAAUUUUGUGUUAGUAUGUUACAGUGUAAAUCUCCUCUUUUAAUCAAAAGGAAAAAAAUGGAUGUUUCUUUUCUUAUAGUUGGUGCUAUUCACACUCCCAUUUUAACUUCUCACAUAAUUUUUCUAUAAUUUUUGUCUUUUGAUAUUUUUUAAUUAAUUCGAUCCGACGGUCGAAAAUUGAGAAGGGUGGGUGGAGGUAAAAAUAGGUGUGAAUAGCACCACGCUUUUCUAUCUGAUAACCAAGUAUGUAUAAUAAAACUUUGUUAAUUGUUGGUCGAUCAAUCUCAACGGUGGGGCCGGGUAAAACCAAAAUGUAGGGAAGUUCAUGCUCACCAAAGCAAAUCUCAGUUGAAAAGUAAACUCGAAUCAAUAAAAAAUUCCAAAGCAAGAUCAACCCGUUUAAGGCUAUGGUGCUCGUCUAGUUAUCUUUGUGCCUUUUUUCUUUACAUUUGGAAGUGCCAGUGCCAGAUCACUUGAGGCAACAAGUCCAGGCCCCACAUUUUAUUCGUUCCUAUUGCCUCCAUUGAAAGUGACCGUUAGAAUUUGAACGUUAUAAGCCUACCGUUUUCCAGUCCCACUUUUUUAGUUCUUGUCACUCACUUUGCUCUUCUCUACAAAAGUAUUAGUUACACACACACACACACUUAUUAGCAGCAUAUAUACACCUAUAUAUAUACUCUCUCUUAGUCUCAUCAGAACUCAAAGAAUGAGAGCUUUGGAGAAGUAGUAGUAGCAGAAACUAGAAGAAGAAAGGGAGACAUCUUAGUCUCCCCCCAGAAGCUGAAGUUGUUGCCUGUCAAUAAGUGUUUGUAUGUGGUCAAGGCAAGCACCUUCUUGACCAUCUUAUCUGGCUUCAAAUUCGCAUUCACUGCCUCUUCUAGAAUCACAUCGAACACCUUCCCGAAAUCAGCCAUCCAGUCCUGGCUUUUGAUCAAAGUCUGUGAUAAACCUAGUUCGGAAACCCUAAUGAACAACCGGUCCACGUCAACAUCACCAAACCUUCCCGCUGCAAUCUGCAACAGAAAGGAUCAUAACUGUUAAACCACUAGUUGUACACCCUGGACAAAAGGAAUGGUGCACAUGGACACAACAUUCCUUUACAGCUUGUCUACCACAUGGUUUCUGCACUUGUGUUGUGAUUGCUGCAUCGUGGGCAUCGUGGGCAGCAAGAACAGCACUUGCUGUGCAUUUGUUUAUUGCAACAUCACUUGCUGUGCAUUUGUUUAUUGCAACAUCACUUGCUGUGCUUUUGUUUAAUGCAUGCGUGUCCUUAAAAGGUCGUACCCAGUGCACAAGGCUCCCGCUUUACGCAGGGUCUGGGAGAGGUGAAUGUCGGCUAGCCUUACCCCCAUUUAUGGAGCGGCUGCUCCCAAGUCUCGAACCCGAGACCUACCGCUCAUGGGCGAAGACACUUGUCAUCGCACCAAGUGCGACCUCUGAUGUCCAUUGUAAGAAGUGCAUAUAAAUAUAAACUCUGAUGUCCAUUGUAAGAAGUGCAGUGUAAUAAUAAACCAGUUUCGAAUACCAAGUUUUUCAUGGUAUCUAAGAGCUGACAGUCUAAACGACCAAAAGCUUUAUUUUUUUUUCUCUCAUGGCGUCCAGUUCAAGUUCCUCCAAUCCCAUUACUUUUUCCUCUCUUCCAAAUGCUUCCAACUUUCUGACUAUCAAGUUGGAUCGUACCAACUAUCCCCUAUGGCAUGCCCAGAUGUUGCCCUUGCUUCGUAGCAGGAAUUUGGUGUCUUUUGUUGAUGGAACCAACCCAUCUCCUCCUGCCUUCUUGAAGGAUGAUGCUGGCCAACUCACUGAUAAAGUCAAUCCUGACUUUGAUGCAUGGAUUCAGCAAGAUGCUAUGGUUCUCUCUUGGAUCAACAGUUCAGUCCAUCCCACAGUUCUUGCCUCUCUUAUUGGUAAGACAAGUUCUCUUUCUGCAUGGACUUGUUUACGUGACAGGUAUGCCUCUCAGUCUACUGGCCGUCUCCUCCAAUUGCGUAGUGAACUUAUGAAUACCCAUCGUGGUGAUUCCUCUAUUGCUGAGUUUCUUGAUCGUAUUAAUUGUCUUGCCGACACUCUCUCCCUCUCUGGUUCUCCUAUGACUGACUCUGAUCUUGUUGCCAUUAUUUUAAAUAAUGUUGGGCCUGCUUAUGAGAGUACUGUUGCUUCUGCACAAGCACGGGAUGAGGCCAUUACUUAUAGUGCUUUGGAGGCUCUUCUUCUUGGUGCAGAAAGACGUCAAAAGAUUCAUACAGUGUUUGAAAAUGGGCUCACUGCCCUUGCUGCUGGAAGAGGUCGUCCAGGACCUUCCCGUGGUCGCGGUGCUCCUCGCGGAGGCCGUGGUCACUUCAAUAGUGGCCGUGGCCAAUUUCCUCCUCGUCCUCAAAGCCAGGAACACCAUGCUCCUCCACACCGACAACCUCAUGAUGGCGUUUUUGGUGCUCCUCCUUCUCCAACCCAAUCUGGUGGCCGUAUCCAAUGCCAAAUAUGUCGUCGUCACGGCCAUUCUGCAAUCGAUUGUUUCAAUCGUCUGAAUAUGGCCUAUGAAGGACGUGUUCCUGCUCCACGUCUCCAAGCUUAUGCUGCUACUGCACCGUCUCCGGCAUCCGCCUCUCCCUCUGGCAUCCACAACUGGCUUUUUGACUCUGGAGCCAAUGCACAUAUCACCAAUGAUUUGAAUCAAAUUUCAAAUCCUCGUCCCUACAAUGGCACUGACAAUGUUAAUGGCGUGGUGGACGGAUCAGGUUUGCACAUUUCUCAUGUUGGCACUUCUUUUAUUCACACACCCCAUCACUCCUUUACCCUUCCCCACACCCUUCACUGCCCUAAUGCUUCUACUAAUGUUAUUUCCAUUAAUCAAUUUACCAAAGACAACCAUUGUUCACUGACCUUAUAUCCCAAUUCCUACCGUGUUCAGGACCUUCAAACGGGGAAGAUGCUUUUGCAAAGCCGGAGUAAAAAUGGUUUUUAUCCAUUUUUCAGUUCUUAUGUGGUCAACCAUGGAGUCUCUGCAUUUGUCGGUGUUAGAGUGUCGGAUGCUAUUUGGCAUUCUAGGUUAGGACACCCUGCAAGUUCUGUUUUGCAUAGUCUAAUUUCCCAAAAUAAAUUACCUUUAACUAGUAAUGCAACCUACGACUUUUGUUCAUCAUGUCCCCUUGGCAAAAGUCAUAAGUUGCCUUUUAAUUUAUCUUCUUCCCAGUCAUCGUUUCCUUUGGAAUUAAUACAUUCCGAUGUAUGGAUUUCUCCUUCUUAUUCAAUUAAUGGUUACAAGUAUUAUGUUGUUUUUGUGGAUGAUUUUUCUCGUUAUGCAUGGCUCUAUCCUUUAAAAUUAAAGUCUGAUGUUUUUCAAACCUUUGUUAAUUUCAAAAAGCUUGCAGAAAAUAUGUUCAAUACCAAAAUUAAAUUUUUUCAAUCUGAUGGUGGAGGAGAGUUUGUCAAUUCCUCUUUUAAACACCUUUUCUCUCAACAUGGCAUUCAUCAUAGACUUAGUUGUCCUCAUCAUCCUGAGCAAAACGGUCUCGCAGAACGCAAACAUCGUCAUCUUGUUGAAAUUGGCUUAACUUUACUUGCUCAUGCGUCUCUCCCUCACACUUUCUGGGAUGACGCUUUUCAAACUGCAAAUUAUCUCAUUAAUCGUCUUCCCACCAAAAUUUUGAAUGGCGUCUCUCCUUUCCAAAAACUGUUUUCAAAAUCCCCCCAGUAUGAUUUUCUCAAAGUAUUUGGUUGUGCUUGUUUUCCCUAUUUACGUCCUUAUACUGAUUCUAAACUUAAGUUUCGAUCAAAACAAUGCAUUUUCUUAGGCUACUCAUUAAAUUAUCAAGGUUAUAAAUGUUAUGAUCCUACCACUGGCAAGUCUUUUCUGUCUCGUCAUGUUGUUUUCAAUGAAAAAAGUUUUCCAUCGAAAGAACUUGCUCCUCCGACCUUGUCAAACUCUCGUCCGUUGGACCAUGUCCUUGACAUUGAUACCUUCCAUUACACCCAACCACAGUUGACCCCUCUGAUCCCUCCUUCCCUUCCAACACCGAUUGUCGCCACCUCCCCACCUCAAUCCCUACCACUACCUACCCCAGACUCCCAUUCUCCCAUCAACUUCCACUACUCAAGUGAAUAUAGAACCUGCCAACACCACUUCACAUACUGUUCCUUCCACUCAUCCCAUGAUCACGCGUGGUCAACAAGGAAUUCGAAAACCAAAUCCCAGAUAUGCUUGUAUCACUAACGUUACUAAUACUUUGGUUAAGCCCACAUGUUUCUCACAGGCAAAUAAGUCUCCACAAUGGCGCCAAGCCAUGGCAGAUGAAUUCAACGCCUUACAGCGUACUGGCACUUGGACUUUGGUACCCUACAAGUCUUCUAUGAACGUGUUACCAAAUAAAUGGGUGUAUCGCAUCAAAACAAACUUUGAUGGUUCCAUCGAGCGUUUUAAAGCUCGCCUAGUUGCCAAUGGUUUUCAUCAGCAAGAGGGCAUUGAUUUCUGCGAAACCUUCAGUCCGGUGGUCACACAUGCCACAAUUCGGCUCAUUCUCUCUAUUGCUCUUCACUUUCAGUGGCCUAUCUGCCAACUUGAUGUUCAAAAUGCCUUCCUUCAUGGCACGUUGAAUGAGGAAGUUUAUAUGCGUCAACCUGCAGGGUUCAUUGAUCCACAGUUUCCCUCUCAUGUGUGUCGACUUCGACGGUCUCUCUAUGGUUUGAAACAAGCACCCCGUGCUUGGUUUCAAUGUUUUUCCCAGAAACUAGAACACUUGGGCUUCACUGCUUCUCAAGCUGACUCGUCUCUCUUCACCUAUUUUGAUGGCUCAACAAUCAUUUAUCUUCUCAUCUAUGUGGAUGACAUUUUAAUCACAGGGAACAACAAUGCUCACUUGUCUCAGUUUAUCACGCAGCUUGGCACUCAUUUUGCAAUGAAAGAUCUUGGGCCCUUACACUACUUCUUGGGGAUGGAGGUUUCCCGGACGCCUUCUGCUUUCUAUCUUACUCAAUCCAAGUAUAUUUUGGAGCUUCUACAGAAAACUAAUAUGGCUGACGCCAAGCCCAUCUCAACGCCAGUUCGCAGUGGUAAACGCUUGAGUUUAUAUGAUGGUGAGCCUUUCUCAGAUGGAUCUUCUUUCGCAGUGUUGUGGGCGCCCUUCAAUACCUUCUAUUUACACGUCCUGAUAUUGCUUAUGCUGUCAACCAAGUGUGUCAGGUCAUGCACUCUCCAACUACUGCACACUGGGCUGCAGUCAAACGCAUCCUACGGUAUUUGAAAGGCACACAUGAUCACGGCUUACUUUACAAACCCAGUCCUCUCACUCUCACUGUGUUCCCUGACGCUGAUUACACUGGCGACCCUGAUACCCAUCGUUCCACUGGCGGUCACUGCAUAUUUCUUGGCAAUAAUUUAAUCUCCUGGAGUUCGAAAAAGCAACGUGGAGUGUCACGGUCUAGCACAGAGGCGGAGUAUCGUCAACUUGCCUAUACUUCUGCUCAUCUCUCAUGGUUUCGUAAUCUUUCCGUGAUUUAUAUCUUCCAUUACAGCCACCUCGUCUCUGGUGUGACAAUAUCAGCGCCAUUGCUAUUGCUUCCAAUCCUGUUUAUCAAGCUCGCAUGCGCCAUGUUGAAGUGGAUUAUCACUACAUCCGGGACAAGGUCAUUUGCAAGGAAAUAGAAGUUGGUUAUGUAGCUACCACAUACCAAAUUGCUGAUUUUUUAACCAAGGGUUUGUCCUCUGUCCGCUUCCAUUAACUUAUCUCCAAGCUUCCUGUUCGUCAACGCCCCGUCAGCUUGCGGGGGCGUGAUAAACCUAGUUCGGAAACCCUAAUGAACAACCGGUCCACGUCAGCACCACCAAACCUUCUCGCUGCAAUCUGCAACAGAAAGGAUCAUAACUGUUAAACCACUAGCUGUACAUCCUGGACAAAAGGAAUGGUGCACAUGGACACAACAUUCCUUUACGGCUUGUCUACCACAUGGUUUCUGCACUUGUGUUGUGAUUGCUGCAUCGUGGGCAUCGUGGGCAGCAAGAACAGCAUUUGCUGUGCAUUUGUUUAUUGCAACAUCACUUGCUGUGCAUUUGUUUAUUGCAACAUCACUUGCUGUGCUUUUGUUUAAUGCAUACGUGUCCUUAUCAGUGUAUAUAAAUAUAAACUCUGAUGUCCAUUGUAAGAAGUGCAGUGUAAUAAUAAACCAGUUUCGAAUACCAAGUUUUUCAGUCUGCACAUAUUUGGCCCUCGAAUUAAGAUCCUUGCCUUGUAUCGAAUGCAACUGAGGGUUUUUACUUUAGGUGACCACCUUUCCCUUCUAUGGCUCGUCACUCAAUUGAGGCAACAAAAGCCCCAAAGACAAACUCGCCUACAAGGUGUUGUCGACAUCACACAACCAACCAAUUCUUCAGCUUCCCCUGCUUUGAGUAAACCUCCACCAUUUUCUUCCACUUAACAUCAGCCUAUUGCUCGAGCUCAGGAUACUUGAUAUAGCUUAAUAUGUCAUGCGGAAGCAGCGCGGCAUCGCUAGGAUCAAUCUCAUUGGCUGCAGCCAGUUGCUCUCUUGUACUCCGCUCUAUAAAACCUCAUUCCUCAGUUGGUCAAUACAACAAACAUUACCAUCCCCUUCUCGGAGGCAUGAUUCUGGUGGGAAAACCUUCCUUGCAAUGUUUUCGAAUAACAUAAGAUGAUCAACGGUGGUAGGCAAAGAGUAGCCACUUGGGUAAUCUCCAAGCAGUAAUCAUCAUGAUGGUCAUGGUCAUGGUCCUUGUGAUGAUGAAAAUUUUCAAUAUUAGACUUGAAGCACUGGGCAAAAAUAUCUGAAACACAGUCGUGCAAGAAGCAGUAAUCAGCGUUGCGCUCGUAUCUCUGAACCGCCUUGUUGGCCGUGUGGAUCGCCUUCCUCCUCAACAAAAAUUCGCUUGCCUUUGACUUGGCGUCCUUUUCCUUAACAUUCACCAUUCCAUUUGAAUCGGCCUCCUCCCUCGUCCUCCCAAUAAAUUUCAAGUGAGCUUCGCCCCGUACAACCUGCGAGAGAAUGCAGGGAAGGUCUAGGUCCGAAUGAGCCGGAAAUUGGCACGAGAUUGUAAGCAAGGGUUUUGGGGUGGUUCUGGUGGAGCCAAACCGCCGCCGUGAAGAAAGCUUAGUCUUGGUUGCGUUUUCCACCGUCGCCGCGUCUGUCUAUGAAGUUGCAGAUGAGUUUGAGGGUGGUUAGAGGAUUGUGCGACCAGGCCGAGGGAAGUACUUAGUUCAUCAGAGUUUCGUGGAAUUCCACUGUCGACAUGGCGUCUUGUCCCUUGAUGCAGUGGAAGUACAGAUCAAUGUAAGGGUUGUUGAUGUUGUGGAAGCCUAAUUGAGGUUGUUGUUUGAAUUUGAACUGCUCGGGCAACAGCAAAGAGGGCGGAGGCGGAGCAAUUCUUGUGAAUUGCGGCCAAACAGCCUUGUUUCGGCAUGCUUCCAGAAUCGAUAUCAGUAGUAGGAAU
RNAcentral lists this long non-coding RNA (62312 nucleotides) under Malus domestica (apple). Its description in RNAcentral is "long non-coding RNA (MDOM_LNC018270)". Lineage: Eukaryota; Viridiplantae; Streptophyta; Magnoliopsida; Rosales; Rosaceae. The record is from RNAcentral.